This 63087-nucleotide long non-coding RNA is filed under the name Hordeum vulgare. Its description in RNAcentral is "long non-coding RNA (HVUL_LNC007617)". The record is from RNAcentral. Lineage: Eukaryota; Viridiplantae; Streptophyta; Magnoliopsida; Poales; Poaceae.
AGAUGAGCGGCUGCCUGUGCCUCCCCUGCUGCUAUAAGAAGUCCCCCGCCCCCGCCCCCGCUGGGGAGAACAACAAACCAGCAGCGGCAGCGGCAGCGGCAGCGGCAGCGAUAGAUUCUUCCUCCUCGUCACUCAUCCAGAAGCCUACCUACCAUCCACCACCUCCUCCACCCUCCAACAAGGUCCGUCUCCCUCCUCCCCCCUCUCCCCCACACACCACCCACAAACUGCUCCAUCCAUCCAUCAAUCUCUUCUUUUUUCCGUUUCCUUUUCUCCGCCCGCCCCCCUUUCGAUUCAGUUCACAGCUUGCCCUUUCAGCUUUUCUUCUUCUUCUUCUUCUUUUUUGUUGUAAAGCAUUUGUUAUCCUCUUGCAUCGCCUUUGAAUCGCCUUUGUUCGUUUGCGCACGCCCUCCCUCUCCCUCUCCGUGGGCACAGCUCUCUCCCUCGAAAUUCGCAUGAUGCAUGUCAAUGGGUUAAUUUGACGGCAACUGAUUCGGUGCUGAUCCUUCCCUCCCCUUUUGCAGAUGGACGCCGCCGUGGAGCGCCUCAAGACCGGGUUCGAGAAGUUCAAGACCGAGGUCUACGAGUAAGCAGUUACCCCCAAUCCUGUCCUGCUGCGUCAAACCGAUGAUGUUUUCGUUCGAUUUAAGUCUUGUGUUUUAACUGACGAUUCUCUCUCCGUUUCCUCUUCCCCUGACAGCAAGAAGCCCGAUUUCUUCGAGCCGCUCAAGGCCGGCCAGGCGCCCAAGGUAUGUACCCCCCAUCAUUCCUUCUGCCAUAAAAUGUUGCCCUACUCUACUCUAGUUGCUCUGUAGAUUUGGGGAUCGACUCAUCAGGCGCUCACUAGUAUUACUUCUUCUGGUAGCCAUGGCGCAGCAGCGGAAGAAAAGAAAGCCCCUCUGUUCGUUCACAUUAUCCUGGGCAUAACCCGGAAUACACUCUGUGCUGUGGCCUGUGGGUGCCCAUAGCAUUUCCUCCUGCUGCGGUCAAAGCAGAUGAAAGAAAACUGCCGCUUGUCCUGAUGUCAUGGCCUGGCCGUAAGAGGGGACAGCUUGUCGCCAUUGCCGGCCAGUUGAUACUCUACUACUAGUACUAGGUUAUGUGUUAACACAACCACUACUGUACUACCGUAGCAGAGACGGGGCAGGGGGCAAUCUCAGGCUGAAACCAGUACGCUUGUGGAUCUCCCUCCGAAUAAACCCCCCACCUGUCGUGCACAUCCAGGAAAUCGGAUCGCGCUGCGGUAACGACUCCCAUGUGCCGUGCGAUGCCAUGAUAUGAUUUGGCUUAUUGAGAUGUCACCGUCCCUAUCACUCGCUUUGUGGUCUUGUGGUAUUAGAAUAUGGUUCUUUUUUUGCCCUUUUAUUCUCGUGUAGGAGGGGCAGCAGCACCUAGGAUAACUUGACGUCCGGAAUCUUGCAAGUACAAGUACGACUAAGUAUCAUUUUUUUCCCCAUCUCUCAGCUGAGAUUAUCGAUUGGCGUGCUUGCUAAUGCAAUGGUAGUAGUAUUAGAGGUCGUUGAGGUUCUUUUGGCCCUGUUGAAUUUCGAUCCCAGCCGUCUGCUUGCUAUCAUCCUCUUUUUUUUCUUCUCUUUGGAAAUGAAAAUAGCCGUCAGCCCGCACUAUCGGAGUUGAACAUGUAGUAGUACAUCUUUUGAUGAUGCCCAUUUAUAUGGAAGCUUCAUCAUCUUGGCAUGGCACCGGCCGCGUCAGACCCCACACACACAAAGAACCGUGAACAGCAAGCCUUGUUCCUUGGGAUAUUAUUGAAAGCAGAGAAGAAAUACCUCUACCUGAACAGGGCAUAGCUAGCUGUAGCCAGCAUCUUAUGGCCAUGGCGCUGCCGGUCUGCGUAGCUACGAGUACAUGAUUAGGCAGGCCCUACCGAUACCAGGAGCUAUCAACGGGUGGAGCACCCAUCACAAAUUAAUGUGUUUGGACAGAGUCUUGCGUAUACAUAUGUUUGGCGGUACUCUUUUUGAGAUUGGCAUAUGCUUACCUUAAUCUGGCUGGUAUACUUGAGAGAUCGGUUUAGGCCCGAGGCUACUUUACAGGGAGACAGUAAUCCUGCAGCUGACCAUCCAUCCAUGCCACAGCCCAUGGGACGGUAGUGCUGGUGCUGCUACUGCAAGGAAGAAAAGAUCUUUACAGUACGUACUUCCGGCGUGUCGCCAUCGGAGGAGAAAGUUGCGCAGCGUGUGUGGGCCUGUCUUCAUUUGUUGCAGAAACCGCCGGUGGUCCUGUCUUGAUAACUCGCAAAAAAUGCAUGGCCCGUAAUCGAGCCUGUCGUCGGGUCUACUGUCACGCGUCAUAAUCAAGUGCUUAUUUCGGUAAUUUGGUUUUGGUUUGGAGGAGAAGCCUGUGCCAGUAGGCUAUCCAUGGUCCCGUGCCACGGAACCUUCGCGCUACUCCUACUUGCUUUGCUCGCCUUUCUGUCCCCUGUACCGUACGUCUCCGGUUCCUUCCGGCCAACACAUAGUAAUCUCUUUCCCUAGCCCCUCUGCACUGCAUCUGCAUGCUACUACUAUGUUCUCUCUCUCUCUCUCUCUCCUUGGAUAAAAAAGUGCAGUGGAGACAGGUCAAAAGUGGCAGCCUUUAGCUGCAAAGCUGUGUGUGUCAGAAGGAAACGCCUACACCGCCUAUCGCGGUUAUCAGCACAGCUGCUUAUUUGUUUAUGCGCUGAACAACGCAUCUGCUUAUCACUAACCACUGUGAAAUGCUCUAAACUAAAAAGGUGGAUUACGGCUACACGAGUGCUUGCUUAGUGUACGUAGUGGAGCAUCUUUUCUUUCUUGGUUGAUGAUUGAUUGACUGACUGAAUUGGUGUGAUUGGGUGUGCAUGCAGUACAUGGUGUUCGCGUGCGCCGACUCGCGUGUGUGCCCGUCGGUCACCCUGGGCCUUGAGCCCGGUGAGGCCUUCACCAUCCGCAACAUCGCCAACAUGGUCCCGGCCUACUGCAAGGUCCCGUCCCGUUUCCCUCUUCCUCGCUCCCUUUUUCAUCGCCGAGCCGCAUUAUUGACGUUUUUUUUUCUUUUCCCGCGCUCUUGUCAACUAUACAGAACAAGUACGCCGGUGUUGGAUCGGCCAUCGAAUACGCCGUCUGCGCGCUCAAGGUCAACUCCCUCACCCUCUCUCUUUCUUUCUUUCUUUCUCUAGUGCUGUCACUCUAAAAUAGGAGUGCAUUAUUGCACUAGUGGGCUUUGCUGUCAUCUCAUCGUCACAAAGUUCCUUCCAAUUACUACUGCUCUAGUAAGAAGAACAACUGAACAUGGGCACUGGCUGUUUUUUAGAGCAUGCCCUGAUUUGGUACCACACAUGGCUGCAGGUUGAGGUCAUCGUGGUGAUUGGCCACAGCCGCUGCGGUGGAAUCAAGGCUCUGCUCUCGCUCAAGGAUGGCGCAGACGACUCCUUGUAAGUAGAGUAAAACGGCUCAAAUCGUAUUCCCACUACGCUACCGUCUCUCUGAUCAGUUUGUGAUCGUCUUAUUUGAUUGGUCAGCCACUUCGUUGAGGACUGGGUCAGGAUCGGGUUCCCGGCCAAGAAGAAGGUGCAGACUGAGUGCGCCUCCAUGCCUUUCGAUGACCAGUGCACCGUCCUGGAGAAGGUUCGCACCGUCGGCCAUCUGCCAUUUCAUACUUUGCUCGUAUAGUAUUAGCAACUGCUCCUACUAUAGUAGUAUGCUCCACAGUUCUGCAUGUGGAUUGUCUAACUGACGAUUGGUACGCUGACAAAGAGAUAUUUCUGAAUCUUUCCCACAGGAGGCCGUCAACGUGUCCCUCCAGAACCUCUUGACCUACCCGUUCGUCAAGGAGGGUGUGACCAACGGAACCCUCAAGCUCGUCGGCGGCCACUACGACUUCGUCUCCGGCAAGUUCGAAACAUGGGAGCAGUAAAUCUUCCCCACCGGUUAACUCCGACAUAUACAAACGUACAUAUAUCAAGAUAUCGUCCGAUCGAUGUGAAUGCAAUGCCAUGGGAGUGCGUACCCGUUAUUGUCCAGUACUGGAUGCCGGAUGGCCCGAUGUGAAUUUGCCAUAAGCAAUAGAACCUUUUUUUCUUCACCAUUUUCUGACGAGGAAUUGUACUGCUAUGUGAUGCAUAAUUUGAUCGUCUUGUGAUCGAAAGACAUCAUAUAUAAGUUUAAUAUAAUAUUUUCAUGAACCGUUUACCUUUUUAUUACCCUUUCUAUCAGCUGUCUUCAAAGUUUUAAAUAGCCCGCUAUAGUCCAGCUAUAGCGGGGCUAUAACUGUUUGAACAGAUGCCGCUAUGUGGCAUAGCCCGUUAAACUUGCGAAAUAGCGGGCUAUAGCCUCGCUAUAGCUGAUUUGGAAGGCCGUCGCUAUUUGGCAUAGCCUGCUAUUUAAAACAUUAAUUUGAGGUUUGUCUUACACUGCUUACCUGUUUGCCCAACCCAAAAAAGAGUGUAUAGCUAAAAGGAACCGAAAUUGACUAAAAGAUUUGAGGUCUUGUAAUAGGAAAAAUUUAACAUACUCCCUCUUAUUCCUUUUUUUACCUGCGAGAUAAUAAUCAGACCAUUAAUUAACGAAAUUCAUGGUUCAAAUCUAUUAUAUACUGUUAAUUUUUACGUGAAAACAGGAGGUAAGAGGAAGCAUGCUAAAACUGCUCAUACGCCUUCCAGAAGCAUGAGAAAGGUUUCUUAUGGAACAUGUCAUCUUCGGGAAGGUUUCUUAUGGAACACCCCAUCUUAUGGAACACCUCUUAUUUCCUUUCAAGUACUGUCUGCGCCACCAGCCGUGGAGAAUGCCUCGAGGUUACCCAAGGCGCAUGGGCUCUAUUGAGAUGGUCAUCAACAAUGGCUCCCGAAGAUUCGCCUGCUCUGCACGCAGCUAGAGGGGUGUACCUUGACGAUACCCACUAUGUACGAGGAAGGAAGCAACUGAAUAUAUGUGGUACAAUACGCUGUUCCGGGAGCCAUCAUGGCUGCGUAUGCCACAAGAGACCAUGUCGCCCCGGUACGAGCUAAGCUAGUCUAUUAUAUGUUAUAUUCAACCAAUGAUGAUCCACACAAGGGCCCUCAAGAAGAUGUACAAAUAGGGGAGGUCGUGGCCUCGCAAGACGUGAGGUUCAUCCAGAACAAAAGACACGCAUUGUAGCCAACUACCAGUGAAAUAAUAAAACAGAAUAGGAGUAGAGUAUUACCCCAACACGAUGGUCUGAACCUGGGUUCUCCCACGUGUUCUACUCCUCUUUCUCCUCUUUCCGAUCGUCCAUGACUUAGGACGCUAGACGCGUUCAGUCACUCGACGAACUCUCAAAGGGUUUUAGCAGACAACCCAAUGUCGGGUUCUUACACAUCGGCAUUUGACGCGCCAGGUAAGGGACUCAGGCGUAUCCGUCCCCCUUGGUCCGCAGUAACUUUGACGUUGGAUUUCUUCACUCUGUGUCACGGUCAUGGUGACGGCGUCGUGGAUGUCUCAAACAUCUCAUGACCCAAAAAACGAUCGGGGCACAGACUUCACAGCGUGCCACCGAGACCAUGCUGCUCUGAUGGGCAAGCAACCGGCGACGCCAUUUCCACCCUGGCAUUCUCGCGGGGUGGGGAUGGCGCCUUGCGCCAGGACUGUAUUUUCAAUGUGAAAAGCGGCGGCCAUGGCGGUGUCGGCUAUGGGCCUCUUUCCGAAAAACCGCAUGGAUCCCCAUGCGGCGGUCGAGAAUCCUUUAGAGAUAGCGGUCUGGCCUGCACCGGGGGGGGGGGGGUGGGUUUUUCUUCGAGCCACGGUGGUGCUAUCGGCCCCAUGAUCGUACUAAAGCCUAAUGGCAAGGUGCAAGUGUGCGUGUGUUUUCUGAGCAGCGACGAGAAGAACGGGACAUGACGACCUUCGCUACAUAGUUUGGGAGAUACUGCACCCCGUGUUGGCCGUUUGGGAUGAGUAAUGCAGGAGUUACUUGAAAUAAACUCGCAUGCAUCACCCUCGGCUCUCGAGCAAGCGGGGGAGGCGCAAGCGCAUGACACUCACAUCCGGUCCUCCCCAAAGGACCACUCAGGCUGCUCCGGGGCGGUCAACGUGUGGCCCCUGGUGAAGCAGCCCGCUUUGUGUGUUUCUGAAAGUUAGCACGAGAGCUUAUAAUAUUCCAUUGUAGAAGAAGAAGCCAAUGGCUAAAACUGCUUGGUUUGUUAAAGAAAAAUUGGACGAAAACCUGUACAAAGGACACACCACACCUAGCUAAACUAGGUCUAAGAGCAUCUCUAGUAGAACCCUCAAACCCUUAAAUCUAAAACCAGUUUUAAGGAUUGAGAAUUGACCAUUUUUGAUACUUUUAAGGGUUGAAAAACAGGGGCAAAGACUAGAACCCUCAAACCCAACCCUUAUAAUCGAAUAUUCCGUUAUAAGGGUUGGAUAAGGGUUGGGUUUGAGGGUUCUAGUCUUUAUAAGGGUUGGGUUUGAGGGUUCUAGUCUUUGCCCCAACCCCAACCCUUAAAACUGUCAUUUCAUAUAUCACACAUUUCAUCACAUUUCAUCAUAUGACAUAUCACAAAUUCAAUCACAUUUGACAUAAAACAAUAAUCAUUCUAGUUAUUAUUACAACACCGAAUAAAACAAUAAUCAUUCAAAUCAUUACAACAAUGUUUGAGCAAACUACAACAAUUGUUCGAAUCAAAUAGGACAUAGAUAAGUAAAACAAAGAUACAUCAUGCGCCAAUGCGCCGCCCAUCCAAAUGCCAGUGGUGCUCUACUAGAUCAUCCCGGAACCGACCAUGAGCGGUUCCAUCCUCAAUCUCACGAUGUGCUUCAAGAAAAGCUUGUAUGCGAGAAGGGUUUCUUUACGGUUGCACACGGGUACCAACAUUGUCAUAGAAACAAGGGAGAUUUAACCCUCUCUCAUCCUCUAGGAUCAUGUUGUGUAGAAUCACACAACAUUUCAUGAUGUUCAUCAAGGUUUUUUUGUCCCAAAACCGAGAUGGAUCCCGAACUAUGGCAAACCUUGCACGUCGACGAGGAAGCUCAUCAUCUCGACGUCGUCGUCUUGCAACAACUCGUCAAUGUCCGAAUCGUCAGAUGACGACCAAUCCGACGAAUCUGACAACGAGUCCAUCUACAUACCAAGUGGCUACAAUUAGUGCGAAUGAAGCAAAAAUUAAAAACUUAAAAUGUAAAAAAACCUCACCGGGGCAGGGUGGGGACGGCCGGCCGAGGCGGGGCGCGGGCGGGCGGCGUCCGGGGCGGGNAGGGCGGCAGGGCAAGGAAGGCGGCGGUCGGGGCGCGGAGGGGCGGCGAGGCGACGACCGGGGAGCGGAGGGAGCGCGGGGCGGCGGCCGGAGCACAGGGGUAGGCGGGGUGGCGGCGGCCGAGGCGACUCCCUCGCGCGCGGGGGAACCAACUGCCUCCCGCGCGAGGUGGGAAGUGGAGUGCCGGUUGGGGGCAGUUUUCCCUCCCAACCCUCACUUCUAGAGGCUGGGAAGGGGUUUGAGGGUUGGACCUCUAAUUUUUUUACGGGUUUAAGUGUUCUAGUCUACGCCGUUUUUCCGAUGAAAACUGUAAAAAACGGUUAUUUUUAAGGGUUUGAGGGCUCUAUUAGAGAUGCUCUAAAGCACUACAUAGCAUACAAAAGCGCCAAGAAACCAAAUAAACAACAGGAACAUAAGCAAUACAAGCAGUGUCAUCGUACAUCACCAACCGCGCUCACGGCCAGACCACUUCGACUUCGCUGUAACAUCACACAAAUGCACCAAGCUGUCGCAUCGAUCAAGGCAGCCACAAGCAUGUUCAACAACUUCGUCGACACCGAAGAGAAGACAUAUCAGUAGAGGAGCAGACAUGUGCUGCUCUGGUAUCAAGAGGACAACCAACAUGAAUUGUUUGGCGUUGAUUGCAUGCCAAGAGUGCUCCAAUGACCAUACACUGUCUGCCAACAGUCAGCCCCCAAUGGACGCGCCGCCACGGACCCUAUCGCCACCCUGCCACCGCCAACUCCAAACUGGGCACUUUACCACAGAGCAUGUGCUCCCAUCUAAGAGGUCAAAUCUCCAUAGAGAUGCUUUCAACAAAGAAACGACGUGAAAGACGCCGUCAUCGCCGAUCCAACAAUGCAGGUCUAUAUUUUCACCCGGAGACCGAACUCGAAGAUGAGAGAGGUGCAAAGUCUCCUUGAUGAGGCCUUCAACAAGGAAACAACAACAACACCCAAAGGUGUUGUCAUCACCGGCCAAGAGUAGGACUUUCGUCCAAAGAAAUGGCAUACCUACGUCGUGGACAACUCCUGGACGCACCCACUAGCUGAUCUCGAGAUGCCCCUCCUCACGUCCAGGCCGGAGCACGACAAAGCAUCGACAUCCGCACCACGCGCCGCAUUCUGUACCACCUCUCGACAAGCCACGAGCCAGGAAAGGCCUAGAUCUGGCCGGCCCUGUCCGCAUCCGCCGCAACUCACCCACCGGAGGCGCGACACAUGAGCGUCGCCUCCAACCUCCACCAGCACGCGCCACCACCUGCGCGUCCUCCUCCGGCCCGGACGGGCUCGGAUCUGGCCGACCUGCAGCAGCCACCACCACAACCUUGUUCUGUCGCUUAUUUCCCCCGAGCAAGGUUGCAGCACCAAGCCUUCAUGGACGAUCCACGCGCCGACGACUAGCAUCCCCGCCACCAUGUCGGUCUUGGCUGAAACCAACCCGAGAUCUGACCGCCACCUUACAAACGAGGUCAUGCCUCAGGAAGCCGUCGCACCGGUAGAAGAAAACUUUGCCCCAUCAUCCCUGAAGCCGACCAGACUUCGCCAAUGAGCCCCUCAGGCGGCGGCAAGGGGAGGGUGGCGUCGAUGGAUUUAGAGUUUCCCCCCGAGCCGCCAGAGGAGGGUGACGCCCGCGAGGGGGGGAGCCCGCUUUGUCGAGUGUCCCCUCCUGAACCGUGGUGCCGGUCUCGAUGCAAAGGCCAGCUUAGCCACUAGCACCCACGUGGGUGGCAGGGAAUCAGCCGACCGCAUGUGCGCCGAAUCCUUAAAAUCACUCUUAUGAGACCUCUCCAAUGCGGAAGGAUUAUGGGGGUUUGUUCAUUCUUCGCUCUUGUGACAACCGAGGUCCAAACAUGGUCACCGGAAUAUGUCGCGCCAUCCGCGAUGGAAAUGUUAUGGGGUCCUAUCCCGCACUAACCACUUUCCCUAGACUGACAACCCCUUGCUUUUGUCCCCCGCGGUAGAGUCACAGCAGUACGCCCCAAAAAUGCUAAACAUACAAACACUUACAAAGGGUUACACGCUAACUAGAAUUUUUUCUUUCUAACUAACCUCCCCCCCUUGAUUUUCAAGGGGGUGGGGUCCUCACCCCCCUUAAUAUCCAAUUAAAAUCCACCUACCUGUAAGACUCCUGUAAACCUAUGUAUGUGUAGCAUUACUGGUACGCCCCACCUGCGCGAGGAAAUGUUCUCAGGUCCUGCCCCGCACGAACCUCGUUACUUGAACUUCUAAGCCCCUACUUCUCUACCCAUGCGGCAGAGACACAACAGUGUGUCGCAUUCGCCGCGACGGAAACACAACAGUGUGUCUCUCCCCAUGCUGUUCAACGGCACACUGUGCCCCUUCUUUUAUAAGAAAUGGAAGCAGUAUACGAGGAAACAACAGACAAUUGUCAGUGAUCCCAGGAAGGAAGGGGGCUUAGGCGCGCCAAAGUUGUUCCCUUUCCCCUGCUGCGCCACCGCCUUAACCACGUCUGCCAUGACGCGUUGGGCCCUCUAUCAUGGGGAUGUCACGACAAGUGUCCUCAUAGGAGAACUUAGUUGCGAGGCCAUGGCGGCUAGGAGAAACCUUGGAUGGGGUUGAUCUGGAACAAGAGAAGCGAGUUUACCCAGGUUCGACCCCUCUACUAAGGUAAAAGCCUACUCCUCCUUGUGUUUGCUUAGAUGUCAAGAUCUUGAGUACAAGGGUGUUGUUUCGCUACCAAUGGCUCGAUGGCUUGUAGUUGGCCCACCCGAGGCUUGCCUUUAUAUACUAGGUCAAAUCUGUGAUGUGUGUUUGCUAUAUUUAAGUCUUUAAGUGGAUUUAUCUCCAUUAAAUAUCUAGAAAUAAAUUUUAUGUCCUAAAAAAGUUAAUUAACAUUAAAAUGGGUCAAACUCUCACAUGAAAGUUUAAAUGAUGUACCUUUAAUGUAGAAAACAAUUAUCCCAUAAGAUCAACAUAAAAUACUAAAAUUCUAACAUUACGGAAAAAUGACAUGAAAAAUACUAGUGGCUGGCACAAAAUAGAGCAUGCCACUGCUAUUUUCUUUACUAGUGGCGGCAUUAACUAUGGCCCGCCACUCGUAAAUUUUGGAUAGAUUUACCUUGACACCGAGAAAAUACUAGUUGCGGGCACAUAUUGUUGGAAAUAUGCCCUAGAGGCAAUAAUAAAUUAGUUAUUAUUAUAUUUAUUUGUUCAUGAUAAUAGUUUAUUAUCCAUGCUAGAAUUGUAUUGAUUGGAAACUCAAAUACAUGUGUGGAUACAUAGACAACACACAGUCCCUAGUGAGCUUCUAAUUGAAUAGCUUGUUGAUCAAAGAUGGUCAAGGUUUCCUGGCCAUAGACAAGUGUUGUCACUUGAUAACGGGAUCACAUGAUUAGGAGAAUGAUGUGAUGGACAAGACCCAAACUAUGAACGUAGCAUAUGAUCGUGUCAGUUUAUUUCUAUUGUUUUAUUUAUGUCAAUGUAUCUGUUCCCAUGACCAUGAGAUCAUGCAACUCCCGGACACCGGAGGAAUACCUUAUGUGUUACCAAACGUCGCAACGUAACUGGGUGACUAUAAAGGUGCUCUACAGGUAUCUCCAAAGGUGUCCGUUGGGUUGGCAUGGAUCAAGACUGGGAUUUGUCACUCCGUGUGACGGAGAGGUAUCUCGGGGCCCACUCGGUAAUACAACAUCACAAUAAGCCUUGCAAGAAAUGUGACUAAGAAGUUAGUCACGGGAUCUUGAAUUACGGAAUGAGUAAAGAGACUUGACGGUAACGAGAUUGAACUAGGUAUAGAGAUACCGACGACCGAAUCUCGGGCAAGUAACACACCGAAGGACAAAGGGAACAAAUACGAGAUUAACUGAGUCCUUGACAUAGAAGUUCAAUCGAUAGAGAUCUUCGUCGAAUAUGUAGGAGACAAUAUGGACAUCCAGGUCCCGCUAUUGGUUAUUGAACGGAGAAUGUAUCAGGUCAUGUAUGCAUAGUUCUCGAACCCGCAGGGUCUGCACAGUUAAGGUUCGGUGACGUUUUUGGUAUAGUUCAGUUAUCGGUAUUGGUAAUCGAAGGUUGUUCGGAGUCCCGGAUGAGAUCCUGGGCUUCACGAGGAGCUCCAGAAUGGUCCAUAGGUAAAGAUUGAUAUAUAGGAAAGUACGUAUUGCACUCCGGAAAUUUUUUGGGCAUUUCCGGCAAUGUACCGGGAGUGACGAAUGGGUUCCGGGGGUCCACCAGGUGGGCCCACCCACCCCAAAGGGUCUCAUGGGCUGUGGUAGGACGUGGACAAGCAUCUAGUGGGAUUGUCGGUGAAUACUCACAACAUAUGCCAUAGGUAGGCUAAAGUCAGUGAGAACCGAAGGGACAAAGGUGGAUGCUGGGAACGAGGUUGGUACACGCAUGGGACGCACGAUGUACCCAGGUUCAGGGCUCUCCGUAGAGAUAAUACCCCUAAUCCUGCCGGAGUGUUUGAUGUGUAUGAACAGAGUACAGGGUUGCUCCUGGAGCUGUAUUGGGAGGAGGAAGAGGGGAGCAGCCGGCUCAUCUCUGCCUCUCUUUGUGGUUGGUGAGCGUAUAGUGCUGUUCGGUUGUGGAAUGAUCGGCCCCCCUUGCAUGAAGGGUGACCGGGGGGUUUUAUAGACAAAACCGCCGGCCUACAAUAUGGAUAAAGGGUACAAGUGUGGGACCCGGCUGGCAGCCUCGCCGGCUGGCCAGGGGCCCACUAGAGUCUUGUCUUGUCGCUUGAGGGACCCGCCGGCUGCAUGGUCUCGAUUGGCAGUGGGACCCGUCGGCUGGCCAAUGAGGCUCUCGCGUAAGGUUGACGCCGAGCAUGCGUUGUACGUCAAGCGUCACCCCGCGAGAUUCGUCAUGGGCAGGUAGUACGGUCGCCUCCACUGUUCCCCACGCCGAGUGCAGUAAUGGAGUGGGAGUGUGACGGUCCGACACUAUGCUAGGUGAUGGAUCAGAGCCGGGGUAGGUCAGCGGCAUGGCCGCCGACGCUCGUACCUGUGGGACACCCCGAUCCAGUACCUUUUGCUGACGCGUAACUACCUUUAGUCGUAGGGUCUCAUCCUGACCUACGAUCUGAUGUGACUUGUGAUCUUUGGUCGGCUAGCGUGCUUGGCUAGCCGGCUGGGGCGCGGCCGCCUCCUUCCGAGCCGGGCUGGCGGGACCAGGCCGGCUCAGAAGAGGUAGCCGCCUCGACUCUAGCCUGCGGGGGUUGCCAGGCCGGCCAGAGGAAUGGCCUCCUCGUCCUCUAGCCGGCAGGCGCUGCCUAGCCGCCCGGAAGACUUGGGCCUUGGGAAUCAGUAUACGUUCAUGUCCUUUGGGCUGGAAAUGAAGGAGUAGGCUUGAUGAGCCUACCCCGGGGUUAUCCUCCUGUCAGUAGUCCCGGAAGCUGGCGAGGCCUGCCGUCUGCGAGCGGGCGGACUCACCGGCUUGUCGAUUUGUCUUGAUAUUUUUCGCCGCCACUCGUGACGAAGGGCGCCGGCUUCGAGACCGAUUGGCUUUGAAGCGACGCCUCGGCCUCGUCGCAAUUUUCUCGAAGAACGCCAUGUGCCAGGCCCCGCCUGGCGUAAUGAUGGUGAUUACUGAUGAUGGGACCGGGCCUGGGCCCUGGGUCCCGCCACGACGCCCCCUCGGCCUCCGCGCGGGAGAUCCUCUGCGGAUUUACUCCGCGACAGUUGGGCUUAGGGAAGCGUUACUGCCCGUAAUACACGGGGUUAAUGGGGGAUCCGACGCGCACCGGAUCCCCUCCCCACGACGCUUCGUGGGGGUUUAAAUGGGAUGCGGGGGUUCCGAGGAGGCCAUUCGCCCCCUCCUUGCUCCGCAUCCGCGCUCUCUUCCUCCCUGCGCCCAGAGAGAAAGAUCUCGCAUCCUUCGUCUUCUUCGUCUUCGUUGCCGCGAAGUCGCCAACUCGCCAACCCCUUCGGGUUCCCGUCAUCCGCAGCCAUGGCCGAUGGUUCUUCCUCGAAGAGGCCCUCGACGCAGAAGGCGUCCUCGCAGGGAGCCUGGCUGGACAGUGAUGUCGGCGAGGGGCACAUCAAAGCGCCCCGUCACCACCGACUACUGCCCCCGGCCUCCCAAGUGUUGGUGCGACUCCCUGGCGCCGAGACCUCUCCCGCACCCGCCGCGGGAGAGGUCAUGGUCUUCGUCGAGCAUUUCUACCGGGGCUUCGGGCUCCCGGCCAGCGCUUUCUUCGCCGAAUGGCUCCACUUCUUCGGCCUGCAGCCGCAUCACUUGGCGCCGGACGUCAUUCUGCAGCUGUCGGCCUUCGUGGUCCUCUGCGAGGGCUUCGUGGGGAUCGAGCCCCGCGUCGACCCGUGGUGCAACCUAUUUUUCUUCAAGCAGCAGUCUAUUGCCAUGGAGAAAUCCGAGGUGGAGAAGCUCCAGGGGCCGCGCCCGAUGACGCCGUGCGGGGCCGCGUUGGUGCACCACCGCUCGAAGUCGGGCUUCCCCGAGACGCCUGUGCAAGAAUCCAUCAAGCAUUGGCAGAAGGGUUUCUUCUAUGUGAAGAUCGCCGACCCGGCCCAGGAUGCCCUCAACAUGCCCCUGUUCGACAUCGCUCCGCCGACGAGGCGGAACUAGGAUGCAAAGACUCCCAAGCCGAUUCCUGAGGUGGCGUUGAUCUGUGCCCACCUCGACAUUUUGGAGAAGAGCGGCCUCCUUGGUCGCGACCUUCUCACCACCAUGGUGGCCCGCCAGAUCCUGCCCUUGCAGAGGCGGCCGCAUCUGGUCUGCCAGAUGAGCGGCCGGUAUGACCAAUGCCGGCUAUCCACCAAGAGGUUCACCCCCGGCGCUGUAGCGUGAAGGGUGAACCUGAUCUCCAUCGCCCGCAUGGGUGAGAGCGGGGAAUGGACGUGGGGGAUGUCCCCCUUCAACAGGGCCCAUCCGCCUCCGAUGGUAGGUGGCUUCUUUAUUCUUUGUUGUUUGCCUUGAAGCCGGUCGUGUUGCUGAGCCGACGAUUGAAUCCCUUUCCGCAGCUGUUGGAGAAUUUGCAGGGGUCCCUCCGUUCGCCCGCUCCUGACGUGGAUGUGUCCGACGCCUCGGAGAUUGAGGACGAGGGCAUGAUUGAAUCCCGCUCGGACUCCUCCGCCGGCUCAGAGAAUCCCUUGGAUUCGGAAGGGACAAAGACGUCUGGUGAGUACGCACGGCCCUCCGUUGCGGACUGGACGGAUGACGACGAGAUUCCCUCAUUCAUUUCUGGUGCAGCCUUCGAGGAGGACUCUGAUGGGGUGGAAGAGGUCACCAGUCCGCCACUGACGCGCGGCAGGCGCCAAAGGGGCGGAGCGACCGCUGCUGACGAGGCAGCCGGGAAGAAGGGCAAGGGUGCCACAGCUUCCCGACCGGCUCCUAAGCGGCCGGCGCCAGGUCCUCCAGCUGGACAGCGAGCAAGCUACACGAAGAGACGCUGCGGUGCUGGCCGGAGGUAGGUCCGUGUGGUAGCGGGGUAAGAUUUCCUCCCCCUUUUCUUCGUCUAUCUUGCGAGGAGCUUUUUUCCUUAGGAGUUUUGCUUGACAGGGAGGCGGAUGAUGUGGAUGAAGACACCGCCUCCGCAGCCGAGCGGGCUGGCUGGGUAGCAGCCGAUGCUGCCCAGAGGGAGCUUGAGAUAGAGUCCAAGCGCCGAUGGGACACGGCUGCGGGGAAGGCUACCGUGGGCCAGCCUCACCCCAGCCGGGUCGAGAGACCGGUGGAGAAGCGUGCGAAGGCUAGACAUGACCCCUCCGCACAUGCUCGUGCGGAGGAGCCAACUAGCGAGACCGCCUCAAGGCUGGCCCCAAGGGCUGAGGGGGCCCAGCCUUCAGGGCCGGAAGCCUCGGCGCGGGUGGACCAGGAAACGGUCCCUGACUCCCCCAGGGCCGAGGCGGCACCCGGCGCGCCGGAGAUGGACCUAGCUGCACCGGACACGACCCCUGAUGCCCCAGGGGUGACCAUGGAUGCGUCGGACGCGGCCCACCCGCCUCCCGCGGAGGAGGCAGCGUCAGCCGGGAUGGCGCCAGAGCCGGCUGCCGAGUCGGCACCAGGAGCCGGUGCCAUCGUCAUUCUCCAGCACGGCCCUGUUGCGCCGGGAGCCGGGGGCCGGGCUGGGAGCCGGCCCAUGAAGACAUAGCGGGCGGCAAACCUGGCCCGCCUGCGACUGCCCGCCGGCACCUCGCUUUCCGACGUCCUGGAGCUGGUGAUGAUGUUUACCAGCAGCCGGUCCAAGGUGGAGCAGUCGGCCCGCAUGGUGUGCGGCGACAUGGAGCGCCUGGAGGCCCGCACCCAGGUAGGUGUUUCCUCUUUGGCUUUUUGAACUUUUUUCUCUUCCUUUUGCGUUAGUGCGGGCGCGACAGCGCACCCACUGGGUGUAGCCCCGAGAAUUGGGCCGGUCGAUCGUCGACCAGACCGAAUCUCUUGGAGGUCCUUUUCCCUGUAUUGUUUCUUCAGUGGGGGCGCACUAGCGCACCCACUAGGUGUAGCCCCCGAGAAUCGGGCUGGUUAAGUCUUACCUAGGACGAAUCUUAAUCCUGUUCCUUUUUGCUUUUUUGGCACGAGCUUUAUGACGCUUAGGCGCAGGCUUAUAACGAGCUGCAAACCCAACACCUGGGGGCUGAUAGCCGAAUCGCUGAGCUCGAAGUCCGGCUGGCGAAGCUGCGAUGUAGCGGGACGCCCUGCGUAACACCGGCAACCAGCUCCAGGAGCAGCUGGUCCUUCUUCAGACGGAGAAGAAGGAGCUCGAGGCGGCCAGCCGGGUCGAGCUGGAGCGACUGCGCGCUACGCUGCAGGAGAAGGAGGCCUCCUACUCCGCCGACGUGGAUCACCUCGCGUCGCUUCAUCUCAAGGAUAUGGACCUCAAGGACGCCGCCUUGAGGGAGAAGGAGGAGGCCCUUGGCCAGAAGCAAACGCAGCUGGCCAAGGCCUUGGAGUCUGCGGCGACUCUCUAGGAGGAGGUUGCCCGCCUUACUCAUGCGAGUAAGGUGCGGGAGCGCGAGCUUCUCAAGAGCUCCCAUGAGACCGAUGGCGCCUUCCAUCAUGAGUCUCUCUUCCUUGUCUUGUUUUUGGUCUUUUUGGCUGUCUCCUCUUUUUGCUGUGUUCUUACGUCCUAGCUGCUGUCAUUCCAGGUCUCUUUCCUGAGACCCAGAUCGCGGACGACACCGCCGUCGAGGUGAGCCGCGAGUAGCGCUGUGCGGCCGGGCAGGAGGUAGACGCUACCUCCGGCUGGAGCAUGGAGGAGAUCGGGGUGGGCCUUCGGGCCCGCCUGCGUGCUCUGGGCGAGUCUGUGGCUGAGCUCCAGAUCGCAGGCUCGUCGAUGGUGGCGGCCUUGUGGCCGGAAGGCGUGGAGCUGGCGUCCAUGAGCCGGCUCGCCCGCUGGCUUGCAGCAGGCGGAGAAAGCCUGGAUGCCUGGCGUGCCUGUGCUGCGCGGGAUGGGGCUUACAUGGCCCUGCGCUUGGCCAAGUCCUGGUAUCGGAACCUGGAAUUGGGUAAGCUUGCCGCCCAGCGUGAUGGCUCGGAGGUGGAGCUACAAGGCAUGGAGGAGGUGCUUCGUGUGAGGGCCAGCGACAUCACCGAGUACGCAGCCUGGGACGACUUCGUUUUGGAGCGGGGUGAAGAUGGCGGUGUGAUCGCUGAAGAUUUGCACGGCCUUCAGCCCUAUGACCCCGACGGAAGCUCCGACAAGGCGGCCCGAGCUAUGGAAUCUGCUGCCUCCUCCAGCGGUGCAGGGUACGCCGACUCCGGUGCGGACGGAGCCGGGAGCCCUCGCGAAGGAGACGGUGCAACCGCCUCGGGAGCAGCCGGAGAUGGUGAUGCUACCACAUCAGGAGCAGCGGCCGGGGCGACCGAUGAGGCCGCAGCCCCGUAGCCGGUGUCGUAUGUGUUUUGUUCUACCCCCGGAGGGAUGUAAUGAACGUGGGCCGUCGGCCAAUGCUUUUUUGAAUGUAUAUAUUCAGCAUUAUAUUCGUAUUCCCAAGCGUGUUGUCUUAUAUUCUUGUCUUUUGAUUCCUGGUUGACUCCUUUUUCGAAGCCAUCAAGACUUAAAGAACAAGACAUAAACCAACAGAGGCCGGCUUGAAUGAGAUUGCAUAUAUGAUCGAGCCAGCUCGAGCCAGCGACCCUUUGCAGCCGAACUUUGCAUGUAUCCGACGUGAUCCUGGCGUCACCUUGCAAACCAGGCGGCCCGAGCCAGCCCGCAGGCUCGUACGAGGUGACUAGGGAUCAGCCGGUUACACUUUGUGUUCUUUUACAAUAGGGAAGGCGUCCGAACGGCUAGCGAGCCCCCGAGCUUGUUAAAGCCAGCAAGGGGCGUGCGCUGCGUAGCCUCCGAGCUUGAUAAAGCCAGCAAGAGGUGUACACGGUGUAGCCCCCGAGCUUAUUGAAGCCAAUAAGGGGGCGUACACUGAGUGAAAACUCUCAAUAAAAAGAAACAUGAAGCAUGCUCUUUUUAUUGCAUUUGUUGUUGCUCCCUGAAAAGGGAGAAAGAUACAUGUGCAUGCUCUUUCCCUUGCUUGAUUCUUGCCUUCUAGCAAUAGAACGGGCAAAGCAGCGCCGCGUUCCAUGGACGUUUCGUUUCUUGAUCGGAGUCGUCCCUCUUGCGCUUCCUUGGCUUUUGGGCAUCGAUCAAGUAGUAAGCGUUGUUGUGCAACACCCUACUGAUGAUGAAGAGUCCCUCCCAUGGGGAUGAGAGUUUGUGCUGGCCAGCAGUGCGUUGGAUUCUUCUGUGGACCAAGUCUCCCUCCCUGAAAGAGAGAGGCUUGAUCUUUUUGCUGUGGUAGUAUUUCAGCUUCUGUUGAUAGAUGGCCGUCCGGCUCAAGGCCAAGUCCCUUGCUUCUUCGAGGAGAUCCACACCGUCUUCUCUUGCCUCCUUUGCCUCCGUUUCUGUGUACAGGGUGACCCGAGGCGAGUCGAACUCUAUAUCCGUGGGAAUAAUAGCCUUAGACCCGUAUACCAGAAAGAAUGGAGUGAAGCUGGUCGACCAGUUGGGCGUGGUGCGGAGGCUCCAUAGCACAGCCGGCAGUUCUUCAAUCCAGCAUCCGGCUGAUCUGACCAGUGGUGCCACCAGUCUUGGCUUGAUGCCGGCCAGAAUUAGGCCGUUGGCCCUCUCUGCUUGGCCGUUCGACUGAGGGUGCGCCACUGAUGCCAAAUCGAGCCGGAUGCCUACCUUGGAACAGUAGAGCGCUAGAGCGCCCUUGGCGAAAUUGGUGCCGUUGUCGGUGACGAUGCUGUGGGGAACGCCAUAUCAAACAGAUAAGUUUGUGCUGAACUUGACAGCGGUGGGGCCAUCAAGCUUCUUGAUAGGUCUGGCUUCGAUCCACUUGGUGAUCUUGUCGAUGGCCACCAAGAGAUGCGUCAUCCCACCGCGAGCCAUCUUGAAGGGCCCUACCAUGUCCAGUCCUGAGACGGCGAAUGGCCAUGAUAGAGGGAUGGUUUUGAGGGCUGAAGGCGGCAUAUGGCUCUUCACGUUGAAGAAUUGGCAGCCUUCGCACUUGUCGACCAGAUCCACGACCUCCUCGAGAGCCGUGGGCCAGUAGAAUCCGUGGCGGAAUGCCUUGGCCACCAGGGUUCUGGAGGCGGCGUGAUGCCCACACUCCCCCUGGUGAAUGUCUCUGAGGAUCUCCUGUCCCUUUUCUGAUUCGACGCAGCAUUGGAACACGCCGGUCAUGCUGCGCCGUACCAGUCCGCGAUUGAUGAUGGCGUAGGCGGUAGACCUGCGCUGGAUCUGUCUCGCCUCCGCCUUGUUCUGAGGAAGUUCGCUGCGAAGAAGGAAGGUCAGAAUAGUUUGAGCCCAUGAUGGAGCCGACACAAGGGUCGCCUCCGCCUCGUCUUGACUGUUGGGAGCUUCUGCAGCCCCCGAGCUUGAUGGAGCCGCGGCUGUAGGCUCGACACAAGGUGUCUCUGGUGCUGUCGUGGCAGCUGGCUCACCGUCUACUUCCAUGACGUCCACCCACUGGGUGUCUUGACGACAGGAUUCGAGUCCAGGCAGAGCCAGGGUUGUUGUCGUAGCCGGUGCCGCCAUUGAAGUCGGCGGGGCAAAUAGAGCCGGCAAAGGAACUAUAGCCGGCGUAGUUGGUGGAGCCGACAGUGCUUGCACGGCGGAUUCAACCGGUGCCGCUAUUGGAGUCGGCGUAGUCAGCGUAGCCGGCGUGGGAACCGCAGCCGGCGUCGCUGAUGGAGCCGACGGCGCUUGCAUCGUAGAGUCAGCCGGCACAAAAAUCGAUGCCGACUCGGGAGACGGCUUAUGGAGUUGCUCGAGGGAGACGCCGGCUGGAAUGGCCUGACUCGUGGGGCCGAUCUUCGCCACUGUAUCGGCCGCCUCAUUUUCUGCCCUGGGAACAUGGUGAAACUCACAGCCCUCGAAGGGGCCGCUGAGCUGCUGAAUGAGGAAGCGGUAGCUUGCCAUGUUGGCGUCCCUGGCAUCCCAUUCGCCAGAGACCUGCUGCACCACCAAUUCUGAAUCGCCGAAGCAUAUGAGCCGCCGGAUGCCGAUCUCCUUGGCAAGCCGGAGGCCGUGAGCAAGUGCUUCGUACUCAGCGACGUUGUUGGAGGCGGAGAAACGGAUCUGGAGUGCAUACUUGAGCUGGUCCCCUUUCGGAGACGUCAAGAUGAUGCUGGCUCCCAGUCCUGUCCGCAUCUUUGAGCCAUCGAAGUGCAUCCGCCAAUGCGUGGAGUCUGGAGGUGGUGGCUCAAACUGGGUCUCGGCCCAGUCGACUAAGAAGUCGGCCACCACCUGAGAUUUGAUGGCGGUACGAGGCUCGUACCAGAUAUCGUGAUCCGCCAUAGCGAUGGACCAUUUGGCAAUCUUGCCCAUGGCAUCACGGUUGCCCAUGAUCUCUGAAAGUGGAGCAGUGCUCACCACGGUGAUGGCAUGCUCUUGGAAGUAUUGCUUCAACUUCUUUGCAGCAAGGUAAACACCAUAACACAUUUUUUGAUAAUGUGGAUAGUUCUGCUUAGAGGCGGACAAGACUUUGCUAAGGUAAUAGAUGGGGUGCUUCACUGGCAGUGCCUUGCCCUCCUCUUUACGCUAAACUACCAACACUAUGCUAACCACGCCAGUAGUCGCCACAAUGUAUAUGAGUAUGGGUUCCCUUUCAGACGGCGCUGCCUAGAUUGGAAGGCUCGAGAUUACUCGCUUGAGGUCGCUGAAGGCUUCGUCCGCCUGGUCGUUCCACUCGAACUUCGUUGUCUUCUUCAUGAGUUGAUAGAGUGGAAGGGCCUUCUCGCCAAGCCGGCUGACGAACCGGCUAAGGGACACCAAGCAGCCGACGAACUUCUAGACGUCGAGGAUUCGGGCCGGUCGCACCAUCCUCUUGAUGGUGCCGAUUUUCUCGGGGUUUGCUUUGAUACGGCGAGCGGACACGAAGAACCCCAAGAGUUCGCCGCCUGGAACCCCGAAGAUGCACUUCUCCGGGUUGAGCCGGAUCUUGUACUCACGCAGAUUGGCGAACGUCUCCCGCAAGUCGUCGAGGAGGCUGAAGUGCUGCUUCAUCUUGACAACGAUGUCAUCCACAUAGACGUGGAUGUUUCUGCCUAUCUGUGGCAGUAGGCACUGCUGCAUGCAGCGUUGGAACGUUUCACCUAUGUUCUUCAGACCGAACGUCAUGGUGGUGUAGCAGUAGGCCCCGAAGGGCGUGAUGAAGGAGGUCUUCAGGCGAUCAGCUGGAUCUAGCUUGAUUUGAUGGUAGCCUGAAUAAGCAUCCAGAAACGAGAGCAAUUCGCAGCCUGCAGUGGAGUCGAUCACUUGAUCUAUCCUAGGCAACGCGAAAGGGUCUGUCGGACAGGCCUUAUUCAGGCUAGUGUAGUCAAUACACAUUUGCCAUGUGUUGUUCUUCUUCAGCACCAGGACUGGAUUAGCCAGCCAGUCCUGGUGGAAAACCUCCAUGAUGAAGCCGGUUGCAAGGAGCCGGUUUAUCUCUUCCCGAUCGUGCGUCGCUUCCCCUCGGCGAAGCGGCGCAAGGGUUAUUUCACCGGUUUUGCAACCGGUCGCACGUGAAGUUUGUGCUCGGCGUACUUCCUCGGAACACCCGGCAUGUCCUUGGGGGACCAUGCAAAGAUGUCCCGAUUCUCACGGAGGAAGUCGACGAGCUCGCCUUCCUAUUUGGGGCUGAGGCUAGCCCCGAUGGUGACGCACUGCUUUGGGUUGGCAGGGUCGAGUGGGACCUGCUUGGUCUCUUUAGCCGGCUUGAAAGAGCCCUCGCCGGCCCAUUGGGACGGAGGAGAAGGAAUCGCCGGCUGCUUAGUAGCCUGGGCCACGAGCCGGUUGAUCUGCCGCUUCUCCUCAGCAAUCACCAAGGCGUCGGCGAGGCGGCUGCUAUCUUGGGCACAAUCGAGCGACUUCUUGUAGUCGCCAACAACAGUGAUGAUGCCCUUGGGACCCGGCAUCUUCAUCUUCAGGUAGGCGUAACGCGGAAUAGCCAUAAACUUGGCCAGAGCCGGUCUUCCCAGCAGCGCGUGGUACGGGCUACUGAGAUCCACUACCUCGAACCAUAUGGACUCUCGGCGAAAGUGGGCUUUGUCGCCGAAGAGGACGUCCAGCUGGAUCUUGCCAAUGGGCGAGCACGACUGCCCAGGCACGAUGCCAUGGAAGACAGUACUGGUCGGUAGGACGUCCGUCUCCUUGAGUCCGAGCUUGAGGAGAGUAUCGAGGUAGAGGAUGUUGAUGCUGCUGUCGCCGUCGACCAACACCCGGGAGAAUCGUUAAGUGAGCCUCUUGGAGGCGAAGGUGGGGUCGAGGACGAGUGCGUAUGAUCCCGAGUUGGGCAUCACCGCAGGAUGGUCCACCUGGCUCCAUGUGAUUGGUUUGUUGGACCAAUGCAUGUACUCGGGAACCGGGGGGACAGUGGCGUUUACCUUGCGCCGCCUCUGGCGCAGGUUGUGCUUGUCGUCGCCUUUGCUGGUGAAGACGACGAACAGUCCGUCUUGAUGAGGGUAGUCGUCUUGGUGAUGACCGUCGUCGCGAGGCGGCGACGGCGGAGCCGGAGCGUGGUUGGGAGCCGGUGCACGAGGGGCCGCCUGUGCACCUGGAGGAGCCGGCAGGCCAUCCCCUUGCGACAGCCGAUGCGCAAAGCUGCACUGUCGAAGGGUGUGGGAAGACGGCUGCGCCCCAGAAUGUAUCUUGCAGGGGGCGUCGAGCAGCUGCUCGAAGGACUGUUUGGGCAGCCAGUUGGUGUUGCUUCUGUUGGGUCGCUUUCGUGGAGGGCCGGCUUGAGGAGCCGAUGUUUCGCCCUCUACGCUGGCCACCAACUUGCUGUUGGAGCGGGGAUCCAUUUGAUCUGCCUUGCGCUUGUAGUUGUUCUGGCCGCCUCGGUUGUCCCCAGCCUGCUUGGGAGUAGCCGGCGUAGGCACAACCUUGUCCAAGGCGGUCACCUUGACGCGCAUUGCUGAGUCGGCCGUGGCGUAUUUGCCCGCCAUGGCCAUGAGCACCGCCAAAGAGGUGGGCUCGGUGCAAAUGAGCUUGUGCUUGAGGAGGGUGCCGUCCCGGCAAUCGUUGAUGAAGUACUGGAUGGCUUGUACCUCAUCCACCCCCUCGCAGGAAUUACGGAGCUCAGUCCACCGGAUGACGUUGUCGCGAAGGGGUUCGUCGGCCUUCUGGAUGCACAUGGCCAGCUCGCGGGGCCGGCCAGGUUGCUUGUAGGUGCCAGUGAAGUUUCGGACGAACGCCUCCUCGAAGUCCACCCAGGAGUUGACACUGCUGGCCGGGAGGCUGUUAAGCCAAGUCCAGGCCGAGGCGGUCAACAUGAGUGGCACGUAGCGGACUGCUACGCACUGGUUGCCCCUGGCAAUGCUGAUGACCAUGGUGUAGUCAAUCAGCCAGUCCUCUGGCUUGGCCGUGCCAUUGUAUUUUGGCGUGUCCCGAGGAAGGGUGAAGCCUCGGGGGAACGGCUCCCCUCGGAUCCGGGGGCCGAAGCAGGCCGGACCGACGGGACCGUCUUCCUCUAGGAGGGUUGGCUGGGCCAGGACGAUGAGACGUCGGCGAGCGUCCCGAUCAUCCUGGGCGGUGUGAGCGCCAACCCUAGUGACGAGAGGGGAGGCGCCUCGCGAACCAGAGACGUGAGUUCUUCGCGGGGGAAGAAUCUCACACUCCAAAUCGCCCUCGUCGCCUUCGCGACGCAAGCCCGAAGUGUGCUUGCUCUGGCGCUGAGAGCGCCGGUCUUGGCUUCCCUCGCCCCUCCGGCCGGAAGGGCGAUGCGAGGAAGAUCCUUCCGCAUGAUGCUGACCGCUAGGGUUGCGGCAUGCCCCGGGGUUGGGUCCCGGGGACUCCGACUGAGCCUGACUAGGGUCACAUCGAGCGUGUUGUUGGUUGGCGGCAUCAAGGAGGUCCUUGACCUGCUUCUCCUGGAAAGCAUGCUCAUCGCCUUCCAGUUUCGCCAUCUCCUCCAUGGCUGCCUGAGCCGCUCGCAUGUUGGCUGCACGGGUCUCGCAGGUGGGCAGAUCGCCACCUAGGACUUCGGCGAUGAACCGGCCGUGGCUGCGGACCGAUCCAAGCCGGCUAGAGGCCUCGGAAAUCGGAGUAAGGCCGUAUGUGGAGUUAUACUCGUGCUGAGUAGCCUUCAUACGACGUUUUGCCGAAGCCAGAACAAUGCCUUCCUCCAGGAAACGCUUGCGAGCCUCCUCCAGCGAGGCCCGAGCAUCAGCAGGGUUGGUGGAAGCGGUGACGGGUGUCUUCAGGCCAGCGAUGGCGUCCCGAAGAGUAUCGGCAGUGGCAGCGGUAGGCUCGCCAGCGCCUGCCGAGGCCUUGUCGGGAGCUGUGCUGGUUCCGGCGCCUAUAACCAUCACUUUCAAGGUGUUGGAGACGGCAGCAACAUGGUAUGGGGUGAAGAACCGCACCGACGGUGGUUGGCCAUCAAAGAUGAGGACAUUGCUGGGAUAUACGUCGUGGGCAGGCAUCUCAGCGAUAGAGAGCCUGCUGAAGCUGGCGCAGAGCGCCUCAACGUCGAAGUCCUCGCCGAAGUAGCGCAGACCGUCAUUGAGACGUAGGUCGCUAAAGAGAACGCUGAGGUUCUCCAUAGCAGCGACGACGAUGCUAGGGAGCGCCUCGUCAUCGGAAUCUUCAUCCGAAUCCGCAUGGCGGACGGGGACGUCCAUCAUCAUGGGUGUUGCCUCGUCGAAAGCGGGCUCCACGGGCAUGCAAACUGAUCCGGACGCGAUGCAUCCGGUGGUUUAGGUGCGGGGCCCCGCCCAGCGCGUAAAGCCAGCCGAUGCCGCGAUUGGCCCCAUGGUGGGCGCCAAAUGUUGGUGCAUACUCACAACAUAUGCCAUAGGUAGGCUAAAGUCGGUGAGAACCUAAGGGACAAAGGUGGACGCUGGGAACGAGGUUGGUACACGCAUGCGACGCACGAUGUACCCAGGUUCAGGGCUCUCCGUAGACAUAAUACCCCUAAUCCUGCCGGAGUGUUUGAUGUGUAUGAACAGAGUACAUGGUUGCUCCUGGAGCUGUAUUGGGAGGAGGAAGAGGGGAGCAGCCGGCUCGUCUCUGCCUCUCUCUGUGGUUGGUGAGCGUAUAGUGCUGUUCGAUUGUGGAAUGAUCGCCCCCCUUGCAUGGAGGGCGACCUACAAUAUGGAUAAAGGGUACAAGUGUGGGACCCGGCUGGCAGCCUCGUCAGCUGGCCAGGGGCCACUAGAGUCUUGUCUUGUCGCUUGAGGGACCUGCCGGCUGCAUGGUCUCGAUUGGCAGUGGGACCCGCCGGCUGGCCAGUGAGGCUCUCGCGUAAGGUUGACGCCGAGCACGCGCUGUACGUCAAGCGUCGCCCCGCGAGAUUCGUCAUGGGCAGGUAGUAUGGCCGCCUCCACUGUUCCCCACGUCGAGUGCAGUAAUGGAGUGGGAGUGUGACGGUCCAACACUAUGCUGGGUGAUGGAUCAGAGCCGGGGUAGGUCAGCGGCGUGGCCGCCGACGCUCGUACCUGCCGGGCACCCCGAUCCAGUACCUUUUGCUGACGCGUAGCUACCUUUAAUCGUAGGGUCUCAUCCUGACCUACGAUCUGAUGUGACUUGUGAUCUUUGGCUGGCUAGCCUACUUGGCUAGCCGGCUGGGGCACGGCCGCCUCCUUCUGAGCCGGGCUGGCGGGACUAGGCCGGCUCAGGAGAGCUAGCUGCCUCGACUCUAACCGGCGGGGGUUGCCUGGCCGGCCAUAGGAAUGGCCGCCUCGUCCUCUAGCCGGUAGGCAUUGCCUAGCCGUCCGAAAGACUUGGGCCUUGGGAAUAAGUAUACGUUCAUGUCCUUUGGGCUGGAAAUGAAGGAGCAGGCUUGAUGAGCCUACCCCGUGGUUAUCCCCCCGACAGGGAUGGCCGGAGCCUCCACUAAAUCCAAAGGCGGAUUUGAGGUGGGAAGGAAAGAAACCCAACGAUGGAAAAGGUGGAAAGGGUUUCCAAGUGGAGAGGAGGAAUCCUACUCCUAGUAGGAUUGGAGUAGGACUCCUCCACCUCUAAUUUCGGCCAAACCUUGAGGGUUUGAGGCUGCCUCCUCCCCUCCCUCCCUUCUAUAUAUACUAGAGGUUUUAGAGGUGAGGCUAGCCCUAAUUGCCACGUGCUCCCUCUACUUCAUCUAGAUCGGUUUCUCCUCUAGUCUAGUUCGGCGGUGCUUAGGCGAAGCCCUGCUGGUUUAGUUCACCACCACCACCACCACGCCACCGUGUUGGAGAACUCAUCUACAUAUCCACACCUCUUGCUGGAUUAAGAAGGCGGGGAUCGUCAUCGAGCUGUACGUGUGCUGAACGCGGAAGUGCCUUCCGUUCGGCACUAGAUCGGGACGGAUCAUGAUGAGAUCGCGAGACGGGCUGCGAUUUGGAUCACGAAGAUGUUCCACUACAUGAACCGCGUUAUAUACGCUUCCUCUUAGCGAUCUACAAGGGUGUGUAGGUGCACUCUCCGCUCUCGUAGAUGAUCACCACCAUGGAUAGGUAUUGUGUGUGCGUAGGAAUUUUUUUGUUUCCCAUGCAACCUCUCCCCAACAGUGGCGUCAUGAGUUAGGUUCAUGCGUAGAUGAUAUCUCGAGUAGAACACAAAAGAGCUUGUGGGUGUUGAUGUUCAAUUUGCUGCCCUCCUUAGUCUGUUCUUUAUUCGACAGUAUUGUUGGAUUGAAGUGGCCCGGACCAACUUUACUCGUACGCUUACGAGAGACCGGUUUCAUCGGCUGACAUGCAACUUGUUGCAUAAAGAUGACUGGCGGGUGUUUAUUUCAUCAACUUUAGUUGAAUUGGGUUUGGACGACGCGGUGCUUGGAGAAGGUUAAAUAUAAAAUUGCAUAUCACCAUUGUGGCUUUGCGUAAGUAAGAUGCGAUCAUAGUAGAUACCCAUAGCAGCUACGUAAAACAUGCAACAAGAAAUUAGAGGACGUCUAACUUGUUUUUGCAGGGUAUGCAUGUGAUGUGAUAUGGCCAAAUACAUGAUAUGAUAUAUUGGAUGUAUGAGAUUAUCAUGUUGUAAUAGUUAAAUAUCGACUUGCACGUCGAUGGUAUGGCAACCGGCAGUAGCCAUAGGGUUGUCUUUAAACUAAUGUUUGUGCUUGCAGAUGCUUUUACUAUAUCGCUAGGUUGCAUCUUUAGUAGUAAUAGCAUAGAUAGCGCGACAACCUCGAUGGAGGCACGAUGAUGGAGAUCAUGAUAAUGAAGAUCAUGGUGCAGCGCUGGUGACGAUGAAGAUUAUGCCGGUGCUUUGGUGAUGGAGAUGAAGAAUCAUGAGUUCAUGGCCAUAUCAUGUCACUUAUGAUUUGCAUGUGAUGUUAAUCCUUUUAUGCACCUUGUUUUUCUUAGGACGACGGUAUCAUUAUAAGGUGAUCUCUCACUAAAAUUUCAGGAUAAAAUUGUAUUCUCCCCGACUGUGCACCGUUGCGACAGUUCAUCGUUUCGGGACACCACGUGACGAUCGGGUGUGAUAGACUCAACGUUCACAUACAAAGGGUGCAAAACAGCUGCACACGCGGAACACUCGGGUUAAACUUGACAUGCCUAGCAUGUACAGACAUGGCCUCAGAACACAAGAGACCGAAAGGUCGAUCAUGAAUCAUAUAGUUGUUAUGAUCAACAUGGAGAUGAUCACCAUUGAAGCUAAACUCAACUCACGUGAUGAUAGUGAAUUUGGAUCAUGCGAAACUCGAAUGACUAGAGGGAUCUCAAUUUGAGUGGGAGUUCUUACCUAAUAUGAUUAAUUGCACUCAUUAUCAUGAACAUAGUCGAAAGGUCUUUGGAAAUUAUGUUGUAGCUUGCAAUGUAGCUCUACUGUUUUAGAUAUGUUCCUAGAGAAAAUUUAUUUGAAAGUUGAUAGUAGCAAUUAUGCGGUCUUGGUCCGUAAAUUGAGGAUUGUCCUCAUUGCUCCGCAGAAGGCUUAUGUCCUUAAUGCACCGCUCAGUGUGCUGAACCUCGAGCGUCGUCUGUGGAUGUUACGAACAUUUGACAUACAUGUUUUUGAUGAGUACGUGAUAGUUCAAUGCGUAAUGCUUAACGGCUUAGAAUUAAGGCACCGAAGACGUUUUAAACGUCACGGAACAUAUGAGAUGUUUCAAGAGAUGAAAUUGGGAUUUCAUGCUCGUGCCCUUGUUGAGAGGUAUGAGACCCCCGACAAGAUUCUUUGUCUACAAAGUAAGGGAGAAAAUCUCAAUCGUUGAGCGUGUGCUCAGAUUGUUUGGGUGCUAUGAUUGAUUUAAUCGAGUGGGAGUUGAUCUCCAGAUGAGAUAGUGAUGGUUCUCCAAAAUCACUACCACCAAGCUACUAGAGCUUCGUGAUGAACUAUAACAUAUCAAGGAUAGAUAUGAUGAUCCUUGAGCUAUACGCGAUGUUUGACACCGCGAAAGUAGAAAUCAAAUAGAAGCGUCAAUUGUUGAUGGCUAGUAAAACCACUGGUUUCAAGAAGGGCAAGGGCAAGAAGGUUUACUUCAUGAAACGGCAAACCAGUUGCUGCUCAAGUGAAGAGACCCAAGGUUGAACCUAAACACGAGACUAACUGCUUCUGUAAUGAGGGGAACAGUCAUUGAAGAGGAACUACCCUAGAUACCUGGUAGAUGAGAAGGCUGGCAAAGUCGACAACUGUAUAUUGGAUAUACAUGAUAUUGGUGUGUACUUUACUAGUACUCCUAGUAGCAUCAGGGUAUUAGAUACUGGUUCGGUUGCUAAGUGUUAGUAACUCGAAAUAAAAGCUACGGAAUAAACGAAGACUAGCUAAGGGCGAGGUGACGAUAUGUGUUGGAAGUGUUUCCAAGUUUGAUGUGAUCAAACAUUGCACGCUCCCUCUACCAUCGGGGAUUAGUGUUGAACCUAAAUAAAUGUUAUUUGGGGUUUGCAUUGAGCAUGAACAUGAUUAGAUCAUGUUUAUUUCAAUGCGAUUAUUCAUUUAAAGAGAAUAAUGGUUAUUCUAUUUGCUUGAAUAAAUACCUUCAAUGGUUUAUUGAAUCUCGAUCGUAGUGAUACACAUGUUCAUGAUAUUGUUUCCAAAAGAUACAAAGUAGUAAUGAUAGUACCACUUACUUGUGGCACUGGCGCUUGAGUCAUAUUGGUGUAACACGCAUGAAGAAGCUCUAUACUGAUGGAUCUUUGGACUCACUCGUUUUUAAUCGUUUGAGACAUGCGAACCAUGCCUAUUGGUGUAAACGCAUGAAGAAACUCCAUGCAGAUGGAUUGUUUAGACUCACUUGAUUUUGAAUCACUUGAGACAUGCAAAUCAUACCACAUGGGCAAGAUGACUGAAGGCCUCGUUUUCCAGUGAGAUGGAACAAGAAAGUAACUUAUUGGAAGUAAUACAUUUUGAUGUAUGCAGUCCAAUGAGUGCUGAGGCACGCAGUGGAUAUCGUUAUGUUUUUACCUCACAGAUGAUUUGAGUAGAUACUAGUGUAUUUUCUUGAUGAAACACACGUCUGAAUUAUUGAAAAGUUCAAGUAAUUUCAGAGUGAAGUUGAAGAUCGUCGUGAUAAGAGGAUAAAAUGUCUACGAUAUGAUCAUAGAGAUGAAUAUCUGAGUUGCGAGUUUGGUACACAAUUAAGACAAUGUGAAAAUUGUUUCACAUCUCAUGCCACCUAGAACACCAUAGUGUGAUGGUGUGUCCGAACGUCAUAGUCGCGCCCUAUUUGAUAUGGUGCAUACUAUGAUGUCUGUGAUCGAAUUACCACUAUCGUUUAUGGGUUAUGCAUUGGAGACAACUGCAUUCACUUUUAAUAGGGCACCAUGUAAUUCCGUUGAGAUGACACCGUAUGAACUAUGGUUUGGAGAAACCUAAGCUGUCGUUUCUUAAAAGUUUGGGGCUGCGACGCUUAUGUGAAAAAGUUUUAGCGUGAUAAGCUCGAACCCAAAGCGGAUAAAUGCAUCUUCAUAGGACACCCAAAAUAGUUGGGUAUACUUCCUGUCUUAGAUUCCGGAAACAAAGUGUUUGUCUCUAGAAAUGGGUCCUUCCUCGAGAAAAAGUUUCUCUCGAAAGAAUUGAGUGGGAGGAUGGUGGAAAUUUGAUGAGGUUAUUAAACUGCCACAUCAACCAAAGUGUAGCAGGGCGCAGGAAGUUGUUCGUGUGGCGCCUAUACCAAUUGAAUUGGAAGCAUAAUGAUAGUGAUCAUGAAGCUUCAGAACAAGUUACUACAAAACUUGUUGGUCGACAAGGUCACGUAGUGCUCCAGAAUGGUACGGUAACCCUGUCUUCGAGGUCAUGUUGUUGGACAACAAUUAACCUACGAGCUGUGGAGAAGCGAUGGUGGGCCCGGAUUCUGACAAAUGGUUGGGGGCCAUGAAAUCCGAGAGAGGAUCUAUGUAUGAAAACAAAGUGUGGACUUUGGAAGAACUACUUGAUGGUCGUAAGACUGUUAAGUACAGAUGGAUCUUUAAAAGGAAGACAAACGAUGAUGGUGAAAAGUCAUAGUUAAGAAAGCUCGACUUGUCACAAAGAUGUUUUCGACAAAUUCAAGGAGUUGACUAUGAUGAGAAUUUCUCACUCAUAGCGAUGCUAAAAGUAUGUUGGAAUUAUGUUAGCAGUUGCUGCAUUAUUUUUGAAAUCCUGCAGAUAGGAUGUCAAAACAUUGUUUCCUCGACGGUUUCCUUGAGGAAAGCUUGUAUGUGAUACAACCAGAAGGUUUUGUCGAUCCUAAGGAUGCUAACAAGUAUGCAAGCUCCAGCGAUCCUUCUAUGGUCUGGAGCAAGCAUCUCGGAGUUGGAAUAUACGCUUUGAUGAGAUGAUCAAAGUUUUGGGGUUUAUACAAGGUUUGUGAGAAACUUGUAUUUCCAAAGAAGUGAGUGGGAGCACUAUAGAUUUUCUGAUGAGUAUAUGUGAUAGACAUAUUGUUGAUCGGAAAUAAUGUAGAAUUCCUGGAAAGCAUAAAGGGUUGUUUGAAAGGUGUUUUUCAAAGUUAAACCUGGAUUAAGCUACUUGAACAUUGACCAUCAAGAUCCAUGGAGAUAGAUCAAAGCGCUUAACAAAACUUUCAAACGAAAUGCAUGCCUGACAAGUUUUUGAAGGAGUUCAAAAAUAGAUCGGCAAGAAGGAGUUCUUGGCUGUGUUGAAAGGUGUGAAUUUGAGUAGGACUCAAAGCUCGACCACGGCAUAAUAAAGAGGAAGGACGAAGGUCGCCCCCUAUGCAUUAGCCGUAGGCUCUAUAGUAUGCUAUGCUUUGUACCGCACCUGAUGUGUGCCUUGCCAUGAAUCUUUCAAGGGGUACAGAAGUGAUCCAUGAAUGGAUUACUGGACAGCGGUCAAAAGUUAUCCUUAGUAACUAGUGGACUAAGGAAUUUUCUCGAUUAUGGAGGUGAUAAAAGAGUUUGUCGUAAAGGGUUACGUUAAUGCAAGCUUUGACUCUAAUCCGGAUGACUUUGAGUAGUAAACCGGAUUCGUAUAGUCGAGCACUCAUUUGGAAUAGUUUCAAAUGGCGAGUAGUAGUAGCAUCUAUAGUAUGACAUAGAGAUUUAUAAAGCACACACAAAUCUGAAAGGUUCAGACCUAUUGCCUAAAAAACCUCUCUCACAAGAAAGACAUGAUCGAACCCGAGAACUGUAUGGGUGUUAGAUUCUUUACAAUCACAUAGUGAUGUGAACUAGAUUAUUGACUCUAGUGCAAGUGGGAGACUGUUGGAAAUAUGCCCUAGAGGCAAUAAUAAAUUAGUUAUUACUAUAUUUAUUUGUUCAUGAUAAUCAUUUAUUAUCCAUGCAAGAAUUGUAUUGAUUGGAAACUCAAAUACAUGUCUGGAUACAUAGACAACACACUGUACCUAGUGAGCCUCUAGUUGACUAGCUCGUUGAUCAAAGAUGGUCAAGGUUUCCUGGCCAUAGACAAGUGCUGUCACUUGAUAACGGGAUCACAUGAUUAGGAGCAUGAUGUGAUGGACAAGACCCAAACUAUGAACGUAGCAUAUGAUCGUGUCAGUUUAUUGCUACUGUUUUCUGCAUGUCAAUGUAUCUGUUCCUAUGACCAUGAGAUCAUGCAACUCCCGGACACCGUAGGAAUACCUUGUGUGUCAUCAAACAUCGCAACGUAACUGCGUGACUAUAACGAUGCUCUACACGUAUCUCCAAAGGUGUCUGUUGGGUUGGCAUGGAUCAAGACUGGGAUUUGUCACUCCGUGUGACUUAGAGGUAUCUCGGGGCCCACUCUGUAAUACAACAUCACAAUAAGCCUUGCAAGCAAUGUGACUAAGAAGUUAGUCAUGGGAUCUUGUAAUACGGAAUGAGUAAAGAGAAUUACCGGUAACGAGAUUGAACUAGGUAUAGAGAUACCGGGGAUCGAAUCUCGGGUAAGUAACAUACCAAAGGACAAAGGGAUCAACAUACGGGAUUAACUGAAUCCUUGACAUAGAGGUUCAACCGAUAGAGAUCUUCGUAGAAUAUGUAGGAGCCAAUAUGGAAAUCUAGGUCCCGCUAUUGGUUAUUGACCGGAGAAUGGCUCAGGUCAUGUGUGGAUAGUUCUCGAACCCGCAGGGUCUGUACACUUAAGGUUCAGUGACGUUUUUGGUAUAGUUGAGUUAUAGGUGUUGGUAACCGAAGGUUGCUUGGAGCCUGAUACGUCUCCAACGUAUCUACUUUUCCAAACUCUUUUUCCCUUGUUUUGGACUAUAAUUUGCAUGAUUUGAAUGGAACUAACUUGGACUGACGCUGUUUUUAGCAGAAUUGCCUUGGUGUUAUUUUUGUGCAGAAAUCAAAGUUCUCCAAACGUCCUGAAAAUUUACGGGGAGCACUUUUGGAAAAUAUCCAAAAUACGUGCGCGAGGAUCCACCUGAGGGGGUGGGCUAGUGGGCCACAAGCCCCUGCUCCGCCACCACCCCCUGGUGGCGGUGGGCAGGCUUGUGGGGCCCACAGGCCUCUGCCGCUCCCAACUCCAGCUCUAUAAGUUGUCUUUCGUCCCAGAAAAAAUAAAAAAGAGAAGUGUUCGUCGCGUUUUCGAUACGGAGGCGCCGCCACCACCUGUUAUUCAUCUAGAGGGCAGAUCUGGAGUCCGUCUUGGGCUCCAGAGAGGGGAAAUCGUCGCCAUCGUCAUCAUCAACCUUCUUCCCUCUCCAAUUCCAUGAAGCUCUUCGUCGUUCGUGAGUAAUCUAUUCGUAGGCUCGCUGGGCGGUGAUGAGUAGGAUGAGAUCUAUCAUGUAAUCGAGUUAGUUUUGAUGGGGAUUGAUCCCUAGUAUCCACUAUGUUCUGAGAUUGAUGUUGCUACUACUUUGCCAUGCUUAAUGCUUGUCACUAGGGCCCGAGUGCCAUGAUUUCAGAUCUGAAAUUAUUAUGUUGUCACCAAUAUAUGUGUGUUUUAGAUCCGAUCUUGCGAGUUGUAGUUACUUACUAUGUGUUAUGAUCCGGUAACCCCGGAGUGACAAUAACCGAAACCACUCCCGGUGAUGACCAUAGUUUGAGGAGUUCAUGUGUUCACCAACUGCUAAUGCGUUGGUCCGGUUCUUUAUUAAAAGGAGAACCUUAAUGUCCCGUAGGUUCCUUUUGGACCCCGCUGCCACGGGAGGGAUGGACAAUAGAUGUCAUGCAAGUUCUUUUCCCUAAGCACGUAUGACGACACACGGAAUGCAUGCCUACAUCACAUUGACGAACGGGAGCUAGCCACUUAUCUCUCCGUGUUAUAGCUGUUGCAUGAUGAAUAUCAUCCAAACAAAUCACCGACCCAAUGCCUACGAGUUUGUCCUACUAUUGCUACUACUGCUGUUACUUGUCUUGCUCUGCUACUACUGUUGCUACUUCUGUCGUUACUUGUCUUGCUCUGCUACUACUGUUGCUACUGCCGUUACUUGUGUUGCUCUGCUGCUACUACUAUUGCUACUACUGCCAUUACUUGUCUUGCUCUGCUGCUACUACUGUUGCUACUGCUCUUAUUUGUUUUGCUGUGCUGCUACUGUUGCUACUACUGUCGCUUGGUACUGUUGCUACUUGCUACUGCUGUCACUACUGCUGUUCCUUGCCACUGCUAUUGCUUGUUCCACUGUCGAUAUCCGUUACUUCGCUGUUACUACUUCGCUGUUACUAUUGUGCUUGCAGAUACUAAUCUUUCAGGUGUGGUUGAAGCUGACAAAUUCAGCUGCUAAUACUUGAGAGUAUACUCUCACCUCCUGUCUCGCGUACCUACAAAUUGGGUCGAAUACUCUACCCUCGAAAACUGCUGCGAACCCACGCGUUGGUGGGCCAUCAACAACAUUCUUCCAGUUUCAUUGUCGGGGAGUGCUAUCAGCAUUCUUCUGGUGCCGUUGCAGGAGAAGGUUAGUUGUUAUAAGCAUUCGUCUAGCUAACACUAGAGAUUGCAGGAUCAACACUUUUCUGGAGCCAUUGCCAGAGAAGCACAGCUGACGUCAGCAUUUUUCUGGCGCCGUUGCCGGGGAGGUAUUGCUAUAUUCUCUGAGUUACUUGUGAUUUAUAUUUGCUGAUCACUAUGAAGAAUCUGAAGGAUCCGAAGACCAAAGUCUUGCCCUCAACUAUGAGGGGAGGUAAGGAAUUUCCAUCUAGGUCUGCACUUGAUUCACGUUCGGUUAUGAGUAAGUUUGCGACAUCACCUCCUGCUAGAAAUCUUGAUAUGUCGCCUGUGCUUGAUGAUGCUUGUGAUACUACUGCUAGAGAUGCUAUGCCUGAUACUAUGCCUGAUGAUGCUAUGCCUGAUGAUGCUAUGCCUGAUACUAUGCUUGAUACUAUGCUUGAUACUGCUAGAGAUGCUAUGCUUGAUACUGCUUUUCCUGAUGAUGCUAGAGAUGCUAUUUUGCCUAAUGAUGCUAUGCUUGAUACUGCUAGAGAUACUCCUUUGCCUGAUGUUCCACUGGGAGCAUUCCUUGACGCUCAUAUUGCUAGAGUUACUGCCAAUGCUCGUGAUGCUUCUGAUAUUGCCGAUGCUAUUGAGAUAGAACCUGCUUUUGCUCCUGUUAGACCUAGCUCUCCUAGAUAUGAAUUGCCUGUUAUACCUGAGGGUUACGUUAUGGAGGGAGAGAUAGCUGAGAAUUUUCUUGCGUGUAAGGAUGCCUAUGACGCUGAGAAAUUAGUUCUCAAGUGGAAGGAAAAAUCUCGGGAAGUUAGGAUGAAAAAUGAUCCGAAGUUUGCCACUUCGCCUAUCUUUGUCACCGAUAAGGAUUAUGAAUUCUUUGUCGACCCUGAGAUAAUCUCUCUAGUCGAAUCUGAUCCUUUUCACGGUUAUGAGUCUGAGACUGUCAUAGCCCAUCUUGCCAAACUAUCCGAAAUAGCCAACCUUUUCACUAAUGAGGAGAAGAUCCGCCACUACUAUAUCCUUAAGCUGUUUGCUUUCUCUCUAAAGGAUGAUGCUAAAGCCUGGUUCACCUCUCUUGCUCCUGGAUGUGUGCGUAGUCCCCAGGAGAUGGUCUAUUACUUCUGUGAGAAAUAUUUCCCUGCCCAUAAGAAGCAAGCUGCCUUGCAGGAAAUAUACAACUUUGCUCAACUCCAAUAAGAGAGUCUUCCACAAGCUUGGGGGAGGCUCGUCCAGCUACAGAAUGCUUUGCCUGAUCACCCUCUCAAGAAGAGCGAGAUACUUGAUAUCCUCUAUAACGGACUUACCGAUGCCUCUAAAGACCAUCUAGAUAGUUGUGCCGGUUGUGUUUUUAGGGAACGAACUGUAGAACAAACCGAGACUCUACUGAAUAACAUCUUGAUCAACGAUAAUGCUUGGACUAUUCCCGAACCACCUCCUAAGCCAACUCCGAAGAAAAUAGGUAUCCUAUUCCUCAGUCCCGAAGAUAUGAAAGAAGCCAAGAAAUAUAUGCAAGAGAAAGGCAUUAGAUCUGAAGAUGUCAAAAAUCUACCACCUAUCAAAGAGAUCCACGGUCUCGAUAACCCGAUACAGGUAGUAGAAGUGAAUUCUCUACGUAGGUUUGAUGAGAGUGAUAUUCCUUUUGAUAAACCUGCUAGCCUAUGCUUUGAUGAAUUUGACAACUUUGUUGCCAAACAACAGAGUUUCAAUGAUUAUGUUAGCACAUAUUUGGAACAAAGUACUCGUAUGCUUAGCCAUUUAAGUGCUUGUGUAGACAGAAAUGUCAAUGCUUUGAAGCUUCUGAGUAAACAUGCCUCUAUGAUUACUACUCAGGUAGAACAAGUACUUAAAGCUCAGAAUGACCUGCUCAAUGAAUUAAAUGACAACUCUGUCAAAGUCAUUACUAGAGGAGGCAAAAUAACUUAGGAACCUUUGUUUCCUGAAGGUCAUCCUAAGAGAAUUGAUCAAGAUUCUCAAGGAAUCAAUGAUGAUACACCUAGUCAUCCUAAGGAGAAGAAGAAGGAUGAUAUAAACCUGCACGCCAGUUCACCAAAUACUGUCACACCUGAAGAACCUAAUGAUAUUUCUGCGUCUGAUGCAGAAACACAAUCUGGUGAUGAACAUGAACCUGGUGACAAUGUGGACAGCGAUGUUCAUAAUAAUGCUCAACCUAGCAAUGAUGAGGAUGUGGAGAUUGAACCUACGAUUAAUCCUGAUAACCCACAACCUAAGAAGUACGACAAGAAUGACUUCACUGCUAGGAAGCAUGGUAAAUAAAGAGAGCCAUGGGUUCAGAGACCUAUGCCCUUUCCUCCUAAGCCAUCCAAGAAAAAGGAUGAUGAGGAUUUUGAGCGCUUCGUUGAGAUGAUAAGACCCGUCUUUCUACAGAUGCGGUUAACUGAUAUGCUCAAGAUGUCUCCGUAUGCCAAGUACAUGAAAGAUAUCGUGACUAAUAAACGGAAGAUACCAGAUCUUGAGAUCUCCACCAUGCUUGCCAAUUACACUUUCAAGGGUGGAACUCCUAAGAAACUUGGUGAUCCCGCAGUGCCCACUAUACCUUGCUCCAUUAAGGGAACUAUGUAAGAAGUGCCUUAUGUGACCUUGGAGCCGGUGUUAGUGUUAUGCCACUCUCUCUUUAUCAUAGACUUGAAUUGGAUAAGUUGACACCCACUGAAAUUUCUCUGCAAAUGGCCGACAAAUCAACUGCUUUCCCUAUCGGCGUUUGUGAGGAUGUGCCUGUUGUGGUUGCUAAUACCACUAUCUUAACAGACUUUGUUAUCUUGGAUAUUCCCGAGGACGAUGCCAUGGCUAUCAUCCUCGGAAGACCCUUUUUAAACACUGCAGGGGCUGUUAUAGAUUGCAACAAAGGCAAUGUCACUUUCCAUGUCAACGGUAAUGAGCACACACUGCACUUUCCGAAGAAAUGAUAUCCAGUACAUUGCAUCAAUGCUAUUGAAAAGACUUCAUCGAUUCUCAUUGGGAGCUUUGAAUGCCCUAUUCCUCGUGUCAAGAUGAAGUAUGAUUUGCUUGUUGGGGAGAUACAUAUCCCCAUUGAGGUGACUUAGUGGCUAUUCGAAAAUUCUCCGUUCUCUCUUGCGAUUCGAGAAUGUUUUGUCAUAAGGACUUAAUCAAUCCCAUUGACGGAUUUCUUUCGAUGGCCAUGAAACGGAUGAAUCAGAGAGUCACAUACCUCUGUUUUGAGUCUUCAUUUUCUGUUGCUUAGAAGAAAAAUGAUAGAAUUAGUUUAGUUUUUCCUGUUUUCUGUUUUAGCGUCCCGGAGAAAAAUACCUUGAAAAUAAAAGUUCUCCGAUGGUCCUGAAAAUUUAGUAUGAUUUUUUCUAGAAUUUUUGAAGAUUUCUGGGCCUGAGAACUGGUCAGGGGUCCUGACCACUGGCCACAAGCCCCCCACCGCGAGCUACCCCCCUGGUGGCGGGGUGCAAGCUUGUGGGGCCCACAGGCACCCCCUCCACUCACUCCAGCUCUCAGCCUCUUCUUCCACCUCUAGAAUAAAUUGUUUCGUAGCUCAAACCCGUGUUCUUGCUCAUUUGGCUGUGAUUUUUGAUCUCCUUGCUCAAAUCACCAUUCUCUGAACUGUUUUGGGGAAAUUACUCCUUGGUAAGUGACUCCUCCAUUGGUCCAAUUAGUUUUAGCUCUAGGGCUUUAACCUUCGCGAAUUCUUGCUACCUUGGUGACCUUGUUCUUGAGCUAGAAAAGUUGAUUUUAGCUGGUCCCAAGUAGUUUUAGCGCGUGAUAUGGUCUCUAGGCACUAGUAGGAGUAGUUGCUACAAGGUAUAGUUGGUCCUCAUUCACUUUUCUCUUGAACUUCAAAAAUUUCAGCAUAAGGAAAUUAUGUUCAGGAGGAAGUUUCAUGGUGGUUCCUCAAGUAAGAAGGGUCCUCGUCUCUCCUUUUGGGAGCCCGAACCUUUUCAACUAAGGGACGCACCGGUGCAACCAUGUGAAUGGCCUUCCGAUGAGUUCAUGAUCGAAGCAGGCUUCAAGGAUGAGUUUGAUGCACUUGUCCGCAAUGCCGGGUUAGAAGAAUUCCUCUCAGAUAAAUGUGAACAGUAUGCUAUGCUCACUGCCUCUUUCGUGCGUAGAAUCCAUACUGUUUGAUCUGUACGAUAAACCCUAUACCGUGGGUCUGGAGGAUUUCAAUAGGAUUUGCAAGAUACCCGAUGGAGGUAGUGUUAUUGAUCCUCCUAAGUCUUCGGUCAGAGACUUUGUCUCCAGCAUAACUGUUGGAGAAACCAGAGAUAUUACGCAAGCCACCAUAGGAAGCAUCCAUUUCCCUGCCUUGCACUACCUUGCCCUCUUCAUAGGUAGGUGCAUUAACGACAAGGGUCCACAUUGUCACCUAUGCGCUUCUGACCUUAGUAUCCUUAAGAGCGCAGUAACAGGUGACAUGAGCUUCAAUAUGGGAGCUAUUAUAGCAAGGAGGCUGAAUAAAAAUGCUAGUGAGGGGGAUUUCUUUGGCGGAGUUUAUGCUACACGCUUAGCAAAUUUUCUGGGAGUAUCCAUCCGUCCAGAAGACCCUCCUCUCCGUACAGCCUACCUUGAUCGUGUCGCUCUAACACGCUACCACUUCCUUGAGAGAGAUGAUGGAUCUCUUCUAUACCGCUUGAUAUUUAACCGACAACGUGUUUUCCAUAUUACCCUUCCUGCUCCUGCUUUCUUUGACUUUCAGGUUAAACAAAGAUACUACAUAACCAUAGGAGAAGCAGAGGAGUAUGAGAGGGAGGCGACGGCUGCUCGACUUCGCGAGACAGCUAUUCAGGCAGUGGCUGCAGCACUCCCGUAUAGCACUCAUUAUGACUUUGGGUUUCGCCAGGAUCAUCCAUGGGAGUAGAUCAAGCUAGGCCAAAAGCCUAAGCUUGGGGGAGUACGUGUUCUCAUCGACUUUGCAUUCAUGCUCAUGCUUUCACUUUGUUAGCCGGUGUUUACAUUUUGCCACUGUAUUAUCCAUGCUAGUUCUUUUUGUUUUCUUGUUUUCUUGUUUUGUGUCCUUUUGAGAAAACCCAAAAAGAAUUUUCUUUCUUCUUUUGCUUGUUGGGAGCUUUCCCGUGUAAAUAGUUUUCUUUUUCUUUGUGUCAAGGUAGAAGAUAUUGGUUACAAUGUUUAGUGGUUCUUACAUGCUUACCUGUUUAGCUUUCAAAGAGCCAUAUUAUUUUGUCUUCUCCUUUGUGUUUGCCUGUAGAUUCAGCUUAGUCCAAUGCGCUUAUUAUCGUUUUUAUCGUUCGAUCGUGCAAAUGAAAGGCAACAAUGAUGAUAUAUGAUGAAGUGACUAAGACUUAAAAGCUGGUAUGAACUCUAUCUAUUUUGUUUUUGUAAAUAUGACUAGCUUGUCGACCCAUAUUUAGCUUUGUUGUGAGAGAACCAUGUUUGCAAUGACAACUUAGAGAUCAUAGUUUCUGAUGCCAUGCUUAUUUAGCUGAGAGCUUAUAAUGGUUUGUCUUGAUUGCCAACAUAGAUUUUGAGAUGACUGUGAUCUAGUAUGAUAGGAUGGUAUUCUCCUUUGAAUGUUUCAAGUGGCUUGACUUGGCGCAUGUUCAUGCAUGUAGUUGAAACAAAAUCAACAUAGCCUCUAUGAUGUUCAUAUUCAUGGUGAUUUAUAUCAUGUUCAUGCUUGCAUUCAAUGUUAGCCAAACCCAUUGCAUCUUGAUGACUGUUGUCGCUCUCUAGUUGGUCGCUUCCCAGUCUUUUGCUAGCCUUCACUUGUACUAAGCGGGAAUACUGCUUGUGCAUCCACCUCCAUAAACCCAAAAGUUUUUCCAUGAGAGUCCACCAUACCUACCUAUUUGCGGUAUCUACCUCCCGUUCCAAGUAAAUUUGCAUGUGCCAUUCUCUAAACCUUCAAGAAAUAAAUCUGUUUUGCAUGCCCGAACCGCUCAUGUGGUGACAGAGGGCUAUUGGUAUCUUCCGUGCUAGGAGUUUUAUCCUCGACAUGUGUUUAUUCAUAGUCAUUCACGAGAAAGGGGUCGGUACUUGGGAUGCCCAGUUCCAUGCUUAAAUCGAAAACAUAAUUGUAAAACAAGACUCCCCCCGGAUUGAUGUUAGUAUGGACGGUACCCGAGGAUUCGGCUAGCCGUGAGUGUGAUUGAUUGGUGGUGGGGGAGUUAAAACUUUACUUUUCUGCUUGGGAACGGCCUAUAGCAUGAGUAGGAUGGAAGAUAUUGAGAACUCUUGGUCAUUGCAUUGACAAUGAAAUCAUGCCAGCCAAAAUUAUUAUCUCUGUUUUCAAAGCUUGAGUUCUGGCACCUCUGCAAAAUCAAUGCUUCCCUCUGCGAAGGGCCUGUCUAUUUAUUUUCCUGUCGAGUCAUCCUCCUCUUAUAUAAGCACCAAUUAGAGAGCACCUGUGUCAUUUUUAUGCUUUGUUUUUGAUUAAUAUUGAGUAUGACUAUGACUGGAUCUUCGUUGCUAUGAAUUAAAAUGUUUAGUCAGCCCUUGAUCUUUCAAAGUGCUCUGCAUUUAUGUUUUGCGGUCUCAGAAAGAGCUAGCGAGAUACCACCUAUUCAUAUUGCUUCAUGCUUGUUUUGAUUGAAGUGUUGGUAUUUGAAACUCAUUAUUAUUUGCUUGUUAGCUGAUUAUGCCAUUGAUAUUAGUUUACCGUGAGACCUUUGUGUCAUUUGCUUAUCUGGUUAACUUGUGAUCUUGCUGAAAUUCGGGUUAUGAGUUAGACAUAGUUCAACAACAAGAUCAAACAGAGUUGGUCAAAGUCUUUCUUUCUCUCUCAGAUUGUCAACUGAGUUGCUUGAGGACAAGCAAGGUUUUAAGCUUGGGGGAGUUGAUACAUCUCGAACGUAUCUACUUUUCCAAACUCUUUUGCCCUUGUUUUGGACUAUAAUUUGCAUGAUUUGAAUGGAACUAACCUGGACUGACGCUGUUUUCAGCAGAAUUGCCUUGGUGUUAUUUUUGUGCAGAAAUCAAAGUUCUCCAAAUGUCCUGAAAAUUUACGGUGAGCAAUUUUGGAAAAUAUCAAAAAUACCUGCGCCAGGAUCCACCUGAGGGGGUGGGCCAGUGGGCCACAAGCCCGUGCUCCGCCACCACCCCCUGGUGGCGGUGGGCAGGCUUGUGGGUCCCACAGGCCUCGGCCGCCCCAACUCCAGCUUUAUAAGUUGUCUUUCGUCCCAGAAAAAAUUAAAAAGAGAAGUUUUCGUCGCGUUUUCGAUACGGAGGCGCCGCCACCACCUGUUCUUCAUCUGGAGGGAAGAUCUGGAGUCCGUCUUGGGCUCCGGAGAGGGGAAAUCGUCGCCAUCGUCAUCAUCAACCUUCUUCCCUCUCCAAUUCCAUGAAGCUCUUUGUCGUUCGUGAGUAAUCUAUUCGUAGGCUCGCUGGGCGGUGAUGAGUAGGAUGACAUCUAUCAUGUAAUCGAGUUAGUUUUGAUGGGGAUUGAUCCCUAGUAUCCACUAUGUUCUGAGAUUGAUGUUGCUACUACUUUGCCAUGCUUAAUGCUUGUCACUAGGCCCGAGUGCCAUGAUUUCAGAUCUGAAAUUAUUAUUAUGUCACCAAUAUAUGUGUGUUUUAGAUCCGAUCUUGCAAGUUGUAGUUACCUACUAUGUGUUAUGAUCCGGCAACCCCGGAGUGACAAUAAUCGGAACCACUCCCGGUGAUGACCAUAGUUUGAGGAGUUCAUGUGUUCACCAAGUGCUAAUGGGUUGGUCUGGUUCUUUAUUAAAAGGAGAACCUUAAUAUCCCAUAGAUUCCUUUUGGACCCCGCUGCCACGGGGGGGGGGGGGAUGGACAAUAGAUGUCAUGCAAGUUCUUUUCCCUAAGCACGUAUGACGACACACGAAAUGCAUGCCUACAUCACAUUGACGAACGGGAGCUAGCCAGUUAUCUCUCCGUGUUAUAGCUGUUGCAUGAUGAAUAUCAUCCAAACAAAUCACCAACCCAAUGCCUACGAGUUUGUCCUACCGUUACUUGUCUUGCUCUGCUACUACUACUGUUGCUACUACUGCCGUUACUUGUCUUGCUCUGCUGCUACUACUGUUGCUACUGCUGUUACUUGUUUUGCUCUGCUGCUACUGUUGCUACUACUGGCGCUUGCUACUGUUGCUACUUGCUACUGCUGUCACUACUGCUGUUCCUUGCCACUGCUAUUGCUCGUUCCACUGCCGAUACCCGUUACUUCGCUCUUACUACUUCCCUGUUACUAUUGUGCUUGCAGAUACUAAUCUUUUAGGUGUGGUUGAAUCUGACAAAUUCAACUGCUAAUACUUGAGAGUAUACUCUCACCUCCUGUCUGGCGUACCUACAAAUUGGGUCGAGUACUCUACCGUCUAAAACUGCUGCGAACCCAUGCGCUGGUGGGCCAUCAACAAUAUUCUUCCAGUUUCAUUGCCGGGAAGUGCUAUCAGCAUUCUUCUGGUGCCAUUGCAGGAGAAGGUUAGUUGUUAUAAGCAUUCGUCUAGCUAACACUAGAGAUUGAAGGAUCAUCACUUUUCUGGAGCCAUUGCUAGAGAAGUACAGCUGACGUCACAACCCCAGAUGAGAUCUUGGACUUCACGAGGAGCUCCAGAAUGGUCCGGAGGUAAAGAUUGAUAUAUAGGAAAGUGGGUUUUGAACUCCGGAAAAGUUUCAGACAUUUCCGACAGUGACGAAAAGUUUCAGACAUUUCAGACAUUUCCGGGGGUGACGAAUGGGUUCCGGGCGUCAACCAGGUGGGCCCACCCACCCCAAAGGGUCUCAUGGGCUGUGGGAGGACGUGAACAAGCCUCUAGUGGGCUUGCCGAAGCCCCCACUAAAUCCCAAGGCAGAUUGGAGGUGGGAAGGAAAGAAACCCAACGGUGGAAAAGGUGGAAAGGGUUUCAAGUGGAGAGGAGGAAUCCUACUCCUAGUAGGAUUGGAGUAGGACUCCUCCACCUCCAAUUUCGGCCAAACCUUGAGGGUUUGAGGCUGCCUCCUCCCCUCCCUCCCUUCUAUAUAUACUAGAGGUUUUAGAGGUGAGGGCUAACCCUAAUUGCCACGUGCUCCCUCUACUUCAUCUAGACCGGUUUCUCCUCUAGUCUAGUUCGGUGGUGCUUAAGCGAAGCCCUGCUGGUCUAGUUCACCACCACCACCACCACGCCGCUAUGCUGGACAACUCAUCUACCUCUUACUGGAUUAAGAAGGCGGGGAUUGUCAUCGAGCUGUAUGUGUGCUGAACGCGGAGGCGCCGUUCGUUCGACACUAGAUCAGGACGAAUCAUGAUGAGAUCGCGGGAUGGGCUACGAUUUGGAUCGCGAAGAUGUUCCAGUACAUCAACCGCGUUAUAUACGCUUCCGCUUAGCGAUCUACAAGGGUAUGUAGAUGCAAUCUCCCCUAUUGUAGAUGAUCAUCACCAUGGAUAGGUAUUCCGUGUGCAUAGGAAUUUUUUUUGUUUCCCAUGCAACCUCUCCCCAACACAUAUUACCGCCCGCCACUGCUAUUUUUGUUACUAUUGGUGGGCAUCUACUAUAGCUCGCCGGUUCUAGUUUAUGACUAAUUUGCCACGAGGUCAAAAAUACUGGUCGCCCGCCACAGGUAACUCAUAUACUAGUGGCGGGAUACAUCUUGCGCCCUCCACUCGUAACAUUUGUCCCAUGACAAAUUUGGACUGCUAUUACCAGUGACGGGCGCAAACUCACGCCCGACACUGGUAAGCCAAUAGCAGUGGUGGGUGCUAGACUGCGCCCGCCUCUAAUUUGAGGGCACAUGUAAGUCAUUUCUAUAGGAUCCGAUGUAUGUCUAGAGGGGGCGUGGGUGAUUAGACUACUUGUGUGACGCCCUCGAUUUAAUCGUACGCUAAUCAUACACGCAAAUGCGUACGAUCAAACUCAAGGACUCACGGGAAGAUAUCAGAAAACAACUCUAGACACAAAUAAAAUAAUACAAGGUUCAUAUUACAAGCCAGGGGCCUCGAGGGCUAGAAUACAGAAGCUCGAUAAACACACGAGUCAGCGAAAGCAACAAUAUCUGAGUAAAGACAUAAAACAUGGGGUGCCUUAGAGAAGGCUAGAACAAAAGAAACACUAUCGAACGAAGUGAGGUCUCCUUCCUGGGAACGUCCUAAACUACUCCAGGUCUUCAGCGGCCUCCAUGAAGAAGUCACCAUCGGGGUGGCAGGCGUCGGCAGGAAACUCCAUCUCCUGGGCUCCAUCAUCUGGUCGCAACAAUGGAUCAAGGGGACAAAGGGGGAGCAAAGCAAUGGUGAGUACUCAUCCAAAGUACUCACAAGUCUUACAUCAGAACUAUGGUAAGUAUGCAUCAGUAUAAAAGAAGGGGUUUAUAUGUGGACUGACUGCAGCAAUGUGAGAAUAGAGAGAAGGCCUAGUCCUAUCGAAGACUAGCAUCUUCAGGGUCUUGCAACAAUAGAUGAGAGUAGAAUAGGUAACACAAUUAAUAGUCAUAUUGUUGCAGCAAUAUUAAUAUGAGGGCACGCCCAGAGAUCCUCCCUCGACUCCCUUCGAGGAAGCAAUCCCGAGGCAACUAAUCCAGUUAAGUAACCAUUGUAGUUGUAUAAGAUCAGGGCACAACUCCAAGUCGUCCUGUAACUGUGGACACGACUAUUUGAUUAGAUAAGUUCUUCCCUGCAGGGGUGCACAACAUAUUCCCUGACGCGCUCGAUAACACUCUAGCCGGACACAUUUUUCUGGGUCAUGGACGGCCUCGGAAUAUCGACACAUCGCAGCCCCACCUAAGCACAGCAAAGAGGCCUGCCCGCCGGUCUAAUUCCUAAGCACAAAGGGGUCGUGGGCCCACUUAUCCUCUGCGCUCCUGCACGAUGCGAGGGCGGCCGAUGUCAGUCCUAGCACCCCUUAAUACAAGAGCGAUGCAUCUCGGGACCACUCGGUAGCGCGCGGCUACAUCACUGACGUCUGAAGAGCUUCGGCUCAUACCGCGACGUCGAGUACCCAUAAUUCUUCCCACGUAGACGGUUAGUGCGUAAUAAGGCCUUCUGACCAACCCAUAUCAAAUACCCAAAUCCCUUAACAUUUUAAUUAGGCCAUUGACACAAUCUCGCGGGAAUCCACCCGUCUAACAACUAAACACCAAUGAUCCCAGUAACAUGGUCGAGUAACUGUGUGGUUGUAACAUCGAGGGAAUCCGAGGUAUCGCCCUCGUUGGAUUCCGAACGAUGUAUCCGUCAAGGUGGGCUUAGAGGAAUCACCCUCGAGGGUCCCACACUUGAGGGGUUGCACGACGGAGGCAUCGUCCGAAAUGGUGAAAGGGGAAUCACCCUCGAUAACCACGACCGACUAGCUAUACUACAGAGAUAUCAUCAGGAGUACUUAGCAUGGUGUCACCCUCGGUACCCGAUAGUAUCUUUGUAGCGUCGUAAAACUAAGGGGGGGGGUGUAUGUGCCGUGUCGGGUCUGGCUCGUCGAUCAGGGAUCAAGAUUUGAAAGCAAAGCGGAGCAACUGGACUACGGGGUCAGAUGGGAAGACUGCUCCACAUAUACUAAACAGGUUAAAAGUACCGUACUCAAAGUAGCAGUUCAUCAAAAACAGGUUAUGCAUCAGAUAUAGGACCUAACUACAACAGUAGCAAAAUACUAAUGCAAGCAUGAGGGAGAAAGACAUAGGCGAAAUAGGGAUGAUCAAGGGGGUUUGCUUGCCUUGUUUCUCUGCAGACAGAUAAAGAUCCUCAACGUUAAAGAAGUCGAUCACCGGAUCAACAUUGGUCUCGGGGUCUACCAGGAAGGAAAAUAACGAAGGGGAGACACAAUAAAUAAGAGAGCAAGCAAACACACCACAAAGCAUGACAAGGUAAUACACAGUGCUAGGGGUGACCUAACGCAGUAUUAAAUGUUACAGACGAAGCAGAAAAAUAUCUCACGAUAUUUCCCGGGUCUUUGAUUAUUACCGAGCAGAUGAUCCAAACGCAAAAAUGUCCAUAUUCAUCAUGCUAGAGGCAUGUUACAAAUGAACGGACAUGGAUUUUCUGAACAACUUUCAUGUAUAAAAUAUAAUCAUCCGAGUUAUGGAUUAUUUUCUUUAAUUUUCAAAGUUUUAAUCAUUUUCUAAAUUUUUUGGAUUUACUUUAAUUUGAGUUGACCUAGUCAACUUGACUAGUAAAAUGGGGAGGGUGUGGCCUACAUGUCAUAGGCAGCAAUUAAACUGUGCUAGUUAAUUAAAUUAAUUAGUGUGAGUUUACUUGGCAUAGGCUAGUAGUAGUUAAACUAACUAGGAGUAAUUGAUACAUAGUACUCCCUCCGUCCGGAAAAAGUUGCCCAAUGCUUAGUUCAUUUUAAAUUUUGCAAAUACACCCUUUUGGUUUUAAAUCUCGUGCUAAUCCCCCUCCUCUGCUUCUUCUUCCUUCGCCCGUGGCUGGACCAAGUGGCCAUCUUCGCCACCGUCGACAGCCGCCGUAGAUGCAGCGGGCUACCGCCACCCACCUGCGCUGCUGCCCACCUGCGUCGUCCUCAAGCUGUCCUCCCACCUGCUGCAGCGAAUCUGGCCUUCCAAGCCCGAAGCCGUGCUCGCCUUCCUCGCCGGCCUCGGCCUCGCCGGCGUCGACGUCGCCGCCCUCGUCUCCAAGGACCCACAGUUCCUCUGCGCAGGCGUGGAGAGCAACCUGCGCCCCGCCGCCGUCGGGUUCACCAGCCUCGGCCUCUCGCGUUCUGAGCUCGCGCGACUCAUCUCUUUCUGCCCUGCCGCACGGAGGCGAGCCGCGGGUCCGCGAGCUCUCGGGGUUCCAGUCCCGCGUCCAGCUAUGUCUGGUACGUCACUGCAUUUCCACUAUGGAGAGAUCAAUUUGUUCUAUGAGUGUCCAUUAUACACAAGUGCGCAUAUCAGUAUGUGGGAUUGGGAGACAAUAGUUGUGUUUGUGCUACUCAUAUCCGCUGAAUUGCACUUGGUCCAUUGUGGAUCCGCAGUACUUUGCUGAAACCAUUGUUUCAUGUGACAUGGAGGGACUCAUAUCCCCUUCUCAAUAAACUGAAGCUGUUUUCUGGCAUUUUUACCCAGGGUGUGUUCACCAUGUUUGCAAGGUAGUUAGUGAGCUAGUGCCUGAACUAUUAAACACAUCCGAGCUUUGUUGUGGUUUAUACUUCCUUGUGUACCAUCUUGAAUUUAGUGAUGCCAUCUGUAGGAUAACAUGCUACGAAUCAAUAAGGAAGUUAUUGUCAUGUCUACUGGAAAGGAAAAUUGGUCAUCAUAUUAUGCAACUAUGUCUAGCUCAGAUUGAACCUUCUCAAGAAUUGAAAGUUGACACAAUAUCCCAACACUUCCCAGAUAACUGAAGAAAACUGAAUUUUAAGGUUUAUUUCAGACAUGUAUGCAGAGAGUACCUGAUCAAUAAAGUAAUCCCGGCAAUCCAAGACAAGUGGCCCGACGAUGACGAGGGCACCACAAUCUUCAUUCAACAAGACAAUGCAAAGCCUCAUGUUCUUCCUAACGAUCUAGGUUUUCGAGAAGCAGUGGAACAAACAAAUUUGGACAUUCGAUUGUUACAACAACCUCCAAACAGCCCCGAGUUCAAUGUUUUAGACCUGUGCUUCCACCGAUCUCUCCAAUCCCUAACCGACUGCAGAGCGCCUAUGAAUAUUCGGGAACUGAUACAGGGUGUAGAGGAGGAGUUUGAGAACUAUGAGGCUGAUAAGCUGUUCAAGAGCUUCAUCACACUCCAAGCAAUCAUGGUAAGAGUCAUGGAAGAUCAAGGAGGAAAUAGCUACAAAAUGCCUCAUUUGCAUAAAGAUCGCUUACAAAAUGUCGGGGAGGAAAUAAUCGGUGUGUAUUGCAGUGCCGAGCUAAUUACCGACACAGUGGCCAUUCUUGAACAAGAAUAAUAGACCAAGGAAAAGGAAAGCAGUAGAUAGGGAAAUGAAAAGAAAGGAUAUGAAAAGAAAGGAUAGGAAUUCGUGUCAUGUUUCAUGUGUAUGCCAUGUGUGAUAUGUACUCCCUCCGUUCCUAAAUAUAAGUCUUUUAAGAUAUUUCACUAUGAGUCUACAUACGGAACAAAAUGAGUAAAUCUAUAUUCUAAAGUAUGUCUAUAUACAUCCGUAUGUAGUUCACUAAUGAAACUUCUUUAAAGACUUAUAUUUAGGAACGGAGGGAGUAUGUCUUGUGUCAUGUGUUCAAUGAGAUAAGAUUGGAGUAUGUCAAGUGAUUUAUUUGGAUUUAUUUGAAUUAUUUGCAUUUUUAUGAAUUUAUUUGGUUUUUAUGAAUUUAUUUGGAUUUAUUUGAAUUAUUUUGUUUUUUAUGAAUUUAUUUGGAUUUUUUGAAUUAUUUGGUUUUUUAUGAAUUUAUUUGGAUUUUAUGAAUUUAUUUGGAUUUAUUUGAAUUAUUUGGAUUUUAUGAAUUUAUUUGGAUUUAUUUGAAUUUUUUGGAUUUUUAUGAAUUUAUUUGAAUUAUUUAAAUUAAUUUGACAAUAAAAUCUUAUGACAAGAUAUAAAUACAAAAAACUUGAGUUGAGAGAAAUAAUAUCUUUAUUAAGAGUCAUUACAAGAUGUACAAGGUCAUUACAAGGAGUUGAAAGAAGAGAAAUAAUAUCUUCAGAAGGGUCAUUACAAGUUGUAUAAGAUCAUUAGAAUAAAUUCUUCUCCUUCUUCUUCUUCUUCAUAUUUUUUCUUCUUCUUCUUCUUCUUCUUCUUCAAUACACAUGAUAGUUUCCUAUUCUCCAAAUAAUUCUGCAGUACACAAACAAAACGUUAUCUUUUCAACCAUUUCAGAAACUCCAAGUUGUCAAGUGGCCGUCCUUUAACAAGUUUGUUGACCUCAAUAUUUUGCAGAAAGCAUCCACCCACUAAUUAGCACAAUAAAGAACAUUUUAUGCUACAGAUUACCUAUAUUCAUAAAGAGUAGAAGCUGUAGAAGAGAGAAGAAGCACCCUUAGCUCGGUUUACUAAAACACAGGCCCUAAAAUGGGUAAAACAUUAAGAAAGCACAACUCUGAACUUUAUAUUAUACGGGAUCAGAACAUAAACUUGUUGUGACAUCCGAAACUAGCCAUUAAAACAACAACCACCACCACACUAUCAAAGCCUUCCCUGAUAUCAAGUGUCAAGUGCUGAACAUAGACAGUCACAUAACACCAAACUAUCAAAGCCUUCCCUGACAUGCAUAAACCGAAUUACUGUACACACAUAUCGCCUUUGCUUUCCCAUAUGGCAAUAUGCGAGGCACAAUCACGGAUAAAAUCCACGGGUCAGGGAGCUAAACCGGGAGAAUCACCCGUACCUUUCCUAUCCGCAGCUUGUUGAACACGUCCUGGAGAAUCUUGUAGUUCUGGAUCAUGUCGUACUCCGUCUUGGCAUCGAAAUUCACCUACAGAAAACACCCCCAAAAUGAGCAUCCGUAGCCAUCUAAACCGCCAAGCGCAGCGCAACAUUGAGUUAUCUACUGUGAAGGAAACAUAAAAACGUCUCCUCAACAGGAGAUGAAAGACGAGCAGGCCUGGGAUAGAAACUAAAACUAGCCUUUUUGUUCUGAUCUGCUUCAGACCACCACAUCUUCUCCUGAUUGCCUGAGCUUCAGAGGAGGUGCAGCAACGGCUUGUGGUGACCAACAGGCAGAGAGGAUAGAGACGAGGCUACUCAGUGUGCAUUUGUCCCCAGGUGCCUUUUCUUGCUCGGGGAGUGGUAGCAGUCGUCGUCCUCAGAUACCUUGAGAUUAGGGAUCCCUUCAUUUCAAACCUGCUUCAGCAUCAGGCACUUAGGAUCAUGGGGGGAAACUGGGUGUAUCUUGUCAGCUCCUCCAAGAAGCCCAACAUCUUCCGCUUGCCAUGUUCUGGUGUCAGUAUCUCCCAGGAUUUGAGAGUCCCGAGGAUCACUCUCCAGACCUGCUCAACAUAUAUCCAAGUGUUGUUGUUAAAGAUCAUAGAGUUCUUAUACAUCCACCCACCAAUUAGCACAAUAAAGUAAGCAAAGCAGCAUAAUUCAACAUUCCAUUUAAAGAGUAACCACAUUUGUUUGGGUCUAGAACAUAAGCCUAAGAAUCCAGCAUCUAUGAACGUCGCGCAGUGCUCGAUAUCUCGAACCAAUUGCCGCAAUCAGGUAGGAGGAGAAAUAGCACACUGGCGGCGUCCUCACUGUACGCGGUGGCGGCGGCGGGGAAGACCGAAGUGGAGGAGGAGGAGCCGCAGCGCGCGGCGACGAACGACACCCCUCCGAGCGCUCGCCGCGGCCGCGGACCUCAUCUCGCCGUUGUAGCAAGGACGCGGCCGCGGCCGCCGCGGGCCUCAUCUCGCCGCCGACGGUGGUGGGUGUGCGGGCGGGCGGGCGAGCGGCGCAGGAUGGCUGCUGAGGGGGAUGUGGACGGACUCCGCGGCGACACGAGGCUUCGAUUGGGCCAAACAAACAAAGUUGUCCCGAUCCAAACAAACAAAACUUACCGGAGACUCGCCGGAGCUGGAGUAUGCACGGGUAGUGCCGCCGCCGGAGCCGGCAAAUCACGAGCUUUGAAGAAAAGGGGCUCCUUCCAUCUUGAGAUCCUGAUGAGGAUGAAGAGAAGAGGCCGGCGGUUGGCGGGGCGAUAGAGACGGCGGCGAGACGAGCGGGAGAAGGCUGUCGGCCGUCGGCGGGGCGAUAGAGACGGCGGCGAGACGAGGCCCGGAGCUUAGGAGGCGGCGCGGCGCGGUGGCACCAGGAGUUGUGGCACGGCGCGGUGGAGGAAGAUGGAGGGGAGCGCGCGUUCGGUCGGGCAAACAUGAAGGGGUUUUUUGAAAAAAUGCCUCGGUGACAUCUUUUUUCGGACGGAGGGAGUACUAAUUAAACCACUACUAGGCCGGUCACACUCUUCCACACACACUUACGGCUCAGACACAACACACACUCACGCGUACACACACAGGCAAACACGUCACAUACCCCGUGGCUAGCAGCAGCGCAGGCACAACAAGCGCUAGGAACAGCUAGCAGCAUGGAGCAAUAGUAGCAGGCCAGCAGCAGCAGGAUCAAACGUAGUGAGCAGCAAAGCAGCCGACGGUUGCGGUAGCAGCGCGCAGCACAUCACGCAAUACCAUGGCAGCUGGGUAUCAAGCAACAGCUGCAGUUAGCCAGUGGAGUGCACUGGGCAGCACCCAACGACGACGAGAGCUGGCGCUGGUCGACGCGACACACGCACGUCCUGCAGCGGGAGCAACGCAAAAGGCAGCAGGGGAGCGCGGCAGCGGACGACGGCGGUGCAGAGAAACAACGGGUGGCGCGAGCGGAAGCAGUAGCAAGCAGCAUCAGCAGGCAGUGAGCAACAAAAGUGAGUAGCAGCAUCAGCAGGACGAGCAGUAGUAGAGCAAUGGCAGCACAGGCAGCAAGCGCAGAGUAUGUACGUGCGCGUACGCGUACGUUCAAACGAGCUCUGGGACGGUAGCUACGGCGAUGGAUUGAGGGGGAGACAAGGGGGAAUGGGGGUGCCGCUCACAAGGGAAGGCGGAGGAUGCGUCGGACGGGGCAGAGGAGCUCCGGUGAGGUAGAUCGAAUGAGGCAAUGACGGCCGUAGGUGAGGAAGACGACGUCGAUCCCUGCAAUGUAGAGGCAUAGAGCUCGAGGUGGUGGUCGUAGACGACGUAGAGGAGGUCGACGGAGCUACAGGACAUGGACUCCGGGCACGGGGUUGACGGAGGGCGCGAGCUUCACGGCGAGGCGGCCAUGGGGUCAUGACGACGACGGACGUGAGCGGGACAGAGGGAAGAGAGGCGGCUAGGGUUGCAGGGGCGCGGGGGCCUGGAUGCUUGGCACGUGGCCAUCCGUGGCCAUGGACGGGGGUGCAUCGUCCACCCAAGCUCUGGUGAACAGAGGAAGGAGAAGACCUUAUGGUGGGUUUGGCCUUUCGUGUGUACUUGAGGUCCAAGUGCAUAGUGAUGACCUUUAUUUUUCUUUUCAUUUUUAUUUCUCCGAGUUUUCUUUUUAUUUACCUUUUUUUGCAUUUAUUUAAAUAGAAAAAGGGGUGUGUAAAAAUAUGGAACCUUGCCUAUUAUUACUAAUGCAAUAUUAGGCACUUCCACAAAAAGUUUAGAAUUUAUUUAAAUUAGUUUGCAAAUUUUAUAAUCUAAAAAGCCUUUAGAUCAUCGCUUUGGCUUGUAUCUUAAAUGUUUUAGGGAAUAUAAUCAUUUCACAAAAUGUUGGUUCCAUCAUGGAAAUUAUCCAAAAAAUAUUUGCAACACACUGAACAUUUUAGUUUUUCAUAUUUGAACAAAUAAUUAUUUGCCUUUAAUUUAAAAUUAAAAAAAUGGCUUUGAGUUAUAACACGUAGCAAUUUGGUUUAGUUAAACUUGAUGACAUGGCAUCAUUAGUGUGUGAUUACUGUAACAUGUCUAGAGGGAUUACUGUAGCAUAAUCCGGGGAUGUCACAACUUGACCAAAUAAAAACUUAGCCUUUUCCCAAUUUUAGUUGUGGGAAAGUUUAAGAAAUUGUAGUAAUUCAAGCACACCCUACACAUGCUAGUCUAAGAGUAUAGCAGCGGAAAGUAAAUACAUGCACAUGUAAAUAGAGGUUAUGGAUAGGAAGAUCAAACACAAAGAUUGACAUGGCAUUUUUGGCGUGGUUCCGAUAGGUGGUGCUAUCGUACGUCCACGUUGAUGGACACUUCAACCCAUGAAGGGUAACGGCUGCGCGAGUCCAUGGAGGGCUCAACCCACGAAGGGUCCACAGAGAAGCAACCUUGUCUAUUCCAUCAUGGCUUACAUCCACGAAUGACUAGCUUCACUCGAGGGAGAUCUUCACGAAGUAGGCGAUCUGAUUUCCCUUACAAACUUGAUUCAACUCCACAACAUGAAGUAGGAGGCUCCUAAGUGACAUCUAGCCUAUCUAGGAGACACCACUCUCCAAAAGGUAAUAGCAGCAGUAGUACAAUGAACUCCUUGUUGUUGUGCUUCAAAAGAUAGUCUCCUCAACACUCAAUCACUCUCUCAUAGAUUUGGCUUGGAUAGAAGAGAUUGGUUGGGUGGAAAGCAACUUGGGGAGGCUAGAAAUCAAGAUUAAAAUGGUAGGAUUGCAAUAUCUUGAUCUCAACACAUGAGUAGGUGGCUCUCUCUCGGAAAAAUGGACAUGGCAAGUCUUGGGUCAUUCCGAGUUCUUCCUCUACGAAUGAGAAGUGCUGGAGGGGUAUAUAUAAGCAUCUCCAAAAAUCUAACCGUUACAACAUUAUUGCCCAACUCGCUGAAACCGAAGCAAAACUCCAUGGCACCUACCACUAGUAGAAAAAUGGCUAGCCACAACUUUAUUUGGUGGUGCCUCAUUUUUUUACCACGCCACCACUAAUUUUUUGAAUAGUGGUGGCAUUGGUAUAUUUGGUAUGCCAUAAGUAAUAGGAUACUUGUUGCGUGCCACCUAAAUUUCACAUCACUACUAUUUGGCAUCCAGUAGACUACCCGAUAACAAGUUAGUGGUGGCGUGUAGCUUUUUCUGAUGCCACGAGUAUUGGCACUAGCGAUGGCAUCGGACUUUGUGACUUGCCACUAAUAACCGGACCAAUUAGUUUGAAAAAUAAUAAAAAAAAUUGGACCAAUUACCAAUGGCGUGCAUACACAUACCUACAUCAUUGAUAACUGAAUCUGGCACGCGCCACGAGUAAUUUUUUUUCCAAAGACAACCCAAUUUUAUCUGUUUAUCUUUUUGGAGACAAAUGUAGCAAAUGCCACGAGCAUACAACACCAAAACCCCAAAAGGCCCAAACAUGACACCUAAACCUACAGGCACAUAUCUCUUCCCUCUCGUUUAGGGUUUCUUGUCAUCCGGCAAUGAUUUCAUCAUCGCUGUGAGUUUACCCCCGUAGCCGGUCCUUCUCGUGCUAGCGCACACCACCCUCGUGUGCUGCUCGGAGCAUGUGAUCAUUUUGUUCUCCGCUGGGUGACAGCCUAGCCCUAACCCUAGAUGACGGCUUCAAAUGGACCCUCAUCGACAAUCGCUGGAUCGAUAAGAAUCUAGAGGAGUUGCUAUAGCACCUCGAUCUGAAGGAGGAGUAGCUGGAUGACGUGGUCAUAGGUGAGGAAGAGUUGAAGAAAUUUGAGGCAGAGGCACGACGGAUGGCAAUCGAAAAGAUGAAUACGACGCAUCGCUUUAGUACCACCACAAUGUUUCAGUCUCUGAAAUCGAACUGGGGGCUAGCGCACGUGCCGAAGUUCAGAGAGGCAGGCGACAACCUGUUUUUGUUCCACAUGUUCUGCUUGGGAUAUUGGAAGAAGUUCGUUCAUGGUGGCCCAUGGCUAUUCAUGGGGAUGGGUCUUCUAAUCGAGGAAUACGAUGGCAAGACAGACGUGGAAUCGGUGAUCUUUGAUGGUCUGUACUUCUGGGCCCAAAUCCACAACAUCCCUGAUCUAUACUGCAGGGCCCAAAUUUUGGAUCAACUUGCUCGCCGAAUCGGUAGAGUGAAGGAUAUUUUACUCGCUCCAAAGCUUUAAUAUGAGGGUGACUAUAUCAGAGUUCGCACAAGGGUUUUUGUGAAUAAGCCCCUUACCAGAGUCACAUCACCGAAUGUCAUGGGCGAGGGGCACCGUUUACUCCCGGUCAAAUAUGAGAAAAUACCUUAAUUCUGUCAAGUAUGCGGAUUUAUGGGGCAAAAUCAUGAAGAAUGCGGCGAUGGUGUGGGGGAACCAAAACAGUGGCAGUUUGGAAGUUGAAUGCUGGCCUAAUGCAAGGAAUCGGCUCCUGAACAACAACAAUUUGUACGUACUGCUCGAGGGGGCUGGUCCAGGGGUGAGGCUAAUCUGGGGCUGGCUGCAGUGGAGCUUCACCGAGGGAUGAGGGAGCCCCACGCAAUAGGUCAUCACAGGCGGCUGGUUUGAUGAGGGAGAAGAUAUUGAUGAAGAUGUGACUAGUCGAGUGAAACCUAGUGCACCUCUUAGCACUGAAUGUAGUGAGGAGAUAGCGAUGCGGUGUAAACUAGAUGACGUCCUUGCUGCUAGCAGCACCAUCUUUGGUGAGAGGAACAACACGGGGAGGAAACCAGUCAUCAACGACCAAAACCAUAUGGUAGUGUUGGUAGAGAAGGGAGCUGUAGAUGUGACACGUGAACGUUUGUCUGCUGCUAUGAUACGUCUCCGUCGUAUCUACUUUUCUGAACUCUUUUGCCCUUGUUUUGGACUCUAAUUUGCAUGAUUUGAAUGGAACUAACCCGAACUAACGAUGUUUUCAGCAGAAUUGCCAUGGUGUUGUUUUUGCAUAGAAAUAAAAGUUCUCGGAAUGACCUGAAAAUUUAUGAAGAAUUUUUCUGGGAUUUGUGAAAAAUACUCGCGCAAGAAUUAGCGGAGGGAGUGGAGCCGUGAGCCCACAAGCCCACCAGGUGCGGGCCCCCCUGGCCGCGCCUGGCAGGCUUGUGGGCCCCACAAAGCUCAACCGCCCCUCAAUCACACUCUAUAUAGUCUGUUUCGUCCGAAAAAAAUCAAGCAGAAGAGUUCAUCGCGUUUUACGACACGGAGGCGCCACCACCUCCUGUUCUUCAUAUGGAGGGCAGAUCUGGAGUUCGUUCUGGGCUCCGGAGAGGGGAGAUCGUCGCCAUCGUCAUCACCAACCUUCCUUCAUCGCCAAUUCCAUGAUGCUCUUCACCGUUCGUGAGUAAUCUCAUCGUAGGCUUGCUGGACGGUGAUGGGUUGGAUGAGAUCUAUCAUGUAAUCGAGUUUGUUUUGACGGGGAUUGAUCCCUAGUAUCCACUAUGUUCUGAUAUUGAUGUUGCUACUACUUUGCCAUGCUUAAUGCUUGUCACUACGGCCCGAGUGCCAUGAUUUCAGAUCUGAACCAAUUAUGUUGUCGCCAAUAUAUGUGUGUUUUAGAUCCUAUCUUGCAAGUUGUAGUCACCUACUGUGUGUUAUGACCCGGCAACCCUGGAGUGACAAUAGCCGGAACCACUCCCGGAGAUGACCAUAGUAUGACGAGUUCAUGUAUUCACCAAGUGUUAAUGCGUUGGUCCGGUUCUUUAUUAAAAGGAGAACCUUAAUAUCCCGUAGUUUCUAUUAGGACCCCGCUGCCACGGGAGGGAUGGACAAUAGAUGUCAUGCAAGUUCUUUUCCCUAAGCACGUAUGACUACAUACGGAAUACAUGCCUACAUUAGAUUGACGAACGGGAGCUAGUUGCUUAUCUCUCCGUGUUAUAACUGUUACAUGAUGAAUGGCAUCCGACAUAAUCAUCCAUCACCGAUCUAAUGCCUAUGAGUUUUUCCUACUGGUCCUUGGUUUGUUACUUUGCCGCUAUUGCUGUCACUGCUGCUACCGUUACUUUGUUGCUACUACUGUUACUUUGCUGCUACUGGGUACUAUUGCUACUGCUGCUAUCAUACUACCUUGCUACUGAUACCUUGCUGGAGAUACUAAAUCUUUCAGGUGUGGUUGAAUUGACUACUCAACUGCUAAUACGUGAGAGUAUUCUUUCGCUUCCCCUUGAGUCGAAUCAAUAAAUUUGGGUAGAAUACUCUACCCUCGAAAACUCUUGUGAUCCACUAUACUUGUGGGUUAUCAAGACUAUUUACUAGCGCCGUUGCAGGGGAGGCACAUCUAUAUUCUCUGAGUCACUUGGGAUUUACGUCUGUUGAUCACUAUGAGGAAUCCGAAAGAUCUAAGAACUAAAGUCUUGCCCUCAACUACGAGGACAGGUAAGGAACUGCCAUCUAGCUCUGCACUUGAUUCACCUUCAGUUAUGAGUAAGUUUGCGACACCAACUCCUGCUAGAAAUCUUGAUAUGUCGCCUGUGCUUAAUGAUGCUACUUCUGCUGCCCAUGAUGCUUAUGAUGAUGCUAUGCUUGAUACUGCUUUGCCUGAUGAUGCUAUGCUCGAUACUGCUUUGCCACUAGGUGCAUUCCUUGAUGCACAAAUUCCUAGAGUUGCUGCUAGAUGUGAUGAUACUUGUGAAACUGCUGAUACUAUUGAAGUAGAACCUGCUAUUUUGCCUGCUAGAACUAGCUCUCCUAUGCCUGAAUUGCCUGAUAUGCCUGAGUGUUAUGUUAUGGAGGGAGAGAUAGCUGAGGACUUUCUUGCGUGUAAGGAUAGCUCUGAUGUUGAGAAAUUACUGGUCAAGUGGAAAGAAAAAUCUCUGAAUGCUAGGAUGAAAUACGACCCGAAGUUUGCUACUUCGCCUAUCUUUGUGACCGAUAAGGAUUAUGAAUUCUCUGUCGACCCCGAGUUAAUCACUCUGGCCGAAUCUGAUCCUUUUCAUGGUUAUGAGUCUGAAAUGGUUGUAGCACAUCUUACCAAACUGCACGAUAUAGCCACCAUAUUCACUAGUGAGGAAAAGAUCCGCCACUCUAUAUCCUCAAGCGGUUUCCUUUCUCGCUAAAGGAUGAUGCUAAGACUUGGUUCACUUCUCUUGCUCCUGGUUGUGUGCGUAGCCUCCAGGAUAUGGUCUACUACUUCUCUGGAAAAUAUUUCCAUGCCCAUAAGAAGAGAGCUACCUUGCAGGAAAUAUACAACUUUGCUGAAGCUGGAGAAGAGAGUCUCCCACAAGCUUGGGGGAGGCUCGUCCAGCUACUGAAUGUUUUGCCUGAUCACCCUCUUGAGAAGAAUGAAAUACUUGAUAUCUUCUAUAAUGGACUUACCGAUGCUUCUAGAGCCAACCUAGAUAGUUGUGCCGGUUGUGUUUUUAGGGAACGAACUUUAGAACAAGCUGAGAUCCUAUUGAAUAAUAUCUUGUGCAAUGAGAAUGCUUGGACUAUUCCCGAACCACCUCCUAAGCCAAGUCCGAAGAAAAGAGGUAUUCUAUUCCUCAGUCCUGAAGAUAUGCAGGAAGCUAAGAAAUCUAUGCGAGAGAAAGGCAUUAAAUCUGAAGAUGUCAAAAAAUCUACCACAUAUCGAAGAGAUCCAUGGUCUUGAUAACCCGAUACAGGUAGGAGAAGUAAAUUCUCUGCGUAGGUUUGAUGAGAGUGAUAUUCCUUUUGAUAAACCUGCUAGCCAAUGUCUGGAUGAAUUUCAUAACUUUGUUGCCAAACAACAGAGUUUCAAUGAUUAUGUUAGCAGACAAUUGGAACAGAAUGCUCGUAUGCUUUGUCAUUUAAGUGCUUGUGUGGACAGAAAUGUCAAUGAUCUUAAGCUUCUGAGUAAACAUGCCUCUAUGGUUACUACUCUGGUAGAACAAGUACUUAAAGCUCAGAAUGACUUGCUCAAAGAGUUGAAUGACAAUUAUGUCAGAGUCGUUACUAGAGGCGGUAGAAUGACCCAGGAACCUUUGUAUCCUGAAGGUCAUCCAAAGAGAAUUGAACAAGUUUCUCAAGGAGUUAGCACUGAUGCACCUAGUCAUCCUAGAAAGAAGAAGAAAGAUGAUAGGAACCUGCACGCUAGCAACCCAGAUGCUGAUACACCUGAGAGUCCAAACGUUGUCUCUGCCUCUGAUGCUGAGACACAAUCUGGUGAUGAACAUGAGCCUAAUGAUAAUAUCAAUAGUGAUGUUCAUGAAGAUGCCCAACCUAGCAAUGAUAAGGAUGUGGAGAUUCAACCUAUUGAUCUUGAUAACCCACAACCUAAGGCUAUAAGAUACAAUAAGAGUGACUUCGCUGCUAGGAAUCAUGGUAAAGAAAGGGAAUCAUGGGUUCAGAAACCCAUGCCCUUUCCUCCCAAACCAUCUAAGAAAAAGGAUGAUGAGGAUUUUGAGCGAUUUGUUGAAAUGAUUAGACCUGCCUUUCUGCAAAUGCGUUUGAUAGAUAUGCUCAAAAUGUCUCCAUAUGCUAAGUACAUGAAGGAUAUUGUGACUAAUAAGAGGAGGAUACCUCAGGUUGAGAUUUCCACCAUGCUUGCUAAUUAUACCUUCAAGGGUGGAACUCCUAAGAAACUAGGUGAUCCCGGAGUGCCGUUUAUACCUUGCCCCAUUAAAGGCAACUACGUUAGAACUGCUUUAUGUGACCUUGGAGCCGGUGUUAGUGUCAUGCCUCUCUCUCUCUAUCGUAGACUUGAACUGGAUAAGUUGACACCUACUGAAAUCUCUUUGCAAAUGGCCGACAAAUCAACUGCUUUCCCUAUCGGCAUUUGCGAGGAUGUGUCGGUUGUGGUUGCCAACAUCACUAUCUUAACAGACUUUGUUAUCUUGGAUAUUCCCGAGGAUGAUGCCAUGGCGGUCAGCCUCGGAAGACCUUUUUUAAACACUAAAGGGGAUGUUAUAGAUUGCAAAAAAGGCAAUGUGACUUUCCAUGUCAAUGAUAAUGAGCAUACGGUGCACUUUCCGAAGAAACAAUAUCGAGUACAUUGCAUCAAUGCUAUCGAAAAAACUUCAUCGAUUCUUAUUGGGAGAUUUGAGUGCCCUAUACCUCGUAUUAAGAUGAAGUAUGAUUUGCUUGUUGGGGAGAUACAUAUCCCCAUUGAGGUGACCUAGUGACUAUUCGAAAAUUCUCCAUCUUCCUUUGCGAUUCGAAAAAGGUUUGUCGAGGAGACUUGAUCAACCUCAUUGACGGAUUUCUUUCGAUGACCAUGAGAUGGAGGAAUCGAGGAGUCACAACCUGUGUUCCAAGCUUUCACCUUCGGUUGCUUAGAAGAAAAAUGAUAGGUUUAGUUUAGUUUUCCCUGUUUUCUGUUUUAGCGUCCGGUAGAAAAGUACCCCGAAAAUAAAAGUUCUCCGAACGUCCUGAAAAUCAAGUAUGAUUUUUUCUGGAAUUUAUAAAAAAUACUGAGACGAAUAGCUAGUCUAGGGGCUGCACUAGUGGGCCACAAGCCCUGGAGGCGCGGGCACCCCCUGGCCGCGCCUACCUGGCUUGUGGGGCCCACGUGCACCCCUCCACUCAUUCUAGCUCCCAUCUGCUUCUCCUACCUCCAGAAAAAAUCGUUUCUCAGCUCAAAACCGUCUUCUUGCUCCUCUUGCUGGGAUUUUCGAUCUCUUUGCUUAAAGCACCAUUCUCCGAACUGUUUUGGGGAAAUUACUCCUUGGUAAGUGACUCCUCCAUUGGUCCGAUUAGUUUUUGCUCUAGUGCCUUAUACUCUGCGUAUUUUUGCUGCCUUGGUGACCAUGUUCUUGAGCUUUGCAUGCUAAUUCUAGCUGGUCCCAAGUGGUUUUGGUGCGUAAUAUGGCUCUAGGCACUUGUUGGAGUAGUUGCUACAAGUUUAGUUAAGCCUUGUUCACUUUUCCUUUGGGUCACUGAAAAUUUCAGAAAAGGAAGAUGUUCAGGAGAAACUAUCAUGGUGGUUCCUCAAGCAAGAGAGGUCCCCGUCUUGCGAUUCGGGAGCCCGAUCCUUACCAACCAAGGGACGCACAGGUACAACCAUGUGAGCCUUCUGAUGAAUUCAUGAUUGAGGCAGGUUUCAAAGACGAGUUUGAUGGACUUGUUCACAACGUCGGACUCGAAGAAUUCAUCUCCAAUAAAUGUGAACAGUAUGUUGCUCUCACUGCCUCUUUUGUUCGUAGAUUCAAAUUUUUAGUUGGCCGCGAUACAUUUGUAUUGUUUGAUCUCUAUGACAAAUCGUAUACCAUGGAUUUAGAAGAUUUCAAUAGAAUCUGCAAGAUACCUAUUUGGGGUAGUCUCAAUGAUCCUCCUAAAUCUUCUGUUAGAGAUUUUCUCUCUCGCAUAACUGUUGGAGAAACUAGAGAUAUUACGCACGCUACCAUGGGGAGCAUUCAUUUUCUUGCCUUGCAUUAUUUUGCCCUCUUCAUAGGCAGAUGCAUUAAUGGAAAGAUUGAGCAUUGUGACCUCUACACACCCGACCUUAGUAUCCUUAAGAGCGCAAUAACGGGUGACAGAAGUUUCAACAUGGGAGCUAUAAUAGCAAGGAGGCUGAAUAAUAAUGCUAACGAAGGGGAUUUCUUUGGUGGGAUCUAUGCCACUCGCAUAGCAAAUUUUCUUGGAGUACCCAUCCAUGAAGGAGAUCCCCCGCUCCAUACAGCUUUCCUUGACAAUGUUGCUUUGACACGCUACCAGUUCCAUGAGAGGGAUGAUGAAUCCCUCCUAUACCGUUUGAUAUUUAACCGGGAGCGUGUUUUCCAUAUUACCCUUCCUGCUCCUGCCUUCUUUGACUUUCAGGUAAAACGGAGUUAUUACAUAACCAGAGGAGAGGCAGAGGAGUAUGAGAGGGAGGCUAAGGCUGCUCGUCUCCGUGAGGCAGCUAUUCAGGCAAUGGCUGCAGCGCUCCCGUAUAACCCCCAUUAUGAUUUUGGGUGUCGCCCGAACCAUCCUUGGGAGUAGACCAACUUAGGCCAAAAGCCUAAGCUUGGGGGAGUACGUGUUUCUCACCGACUUUACAUUCUUUCUUAUGCCUUCACUUUGUUCGUCGGUGUUCACACAUUGCCACUGUAUAAUCCAUGCUAGUUUAUUUUCUUUCUCUCGUUUUCUUUUCGUGUGUCUGUCUAGUUUGAGAAAACCCAAAAAUAUUUUCUUGUUCUUCUUUUGCUUGUUGGGAGCUUUCCCGUGUAAAUAGUUUUCUUUUUCUUUGUGUCAAGGUAGAAGACCAUGGUUAGAAUAUUUAGUGUCUCUCGCACGCAUAUCUAUUUAUGUGUUAAAGAGCCAUAUUACUGUGUCUUCUCCUUUGUGUUUGCUUGCAGAUUACAGCUUAGUCCAAUGCAUGAGCACGCUUAUUAUUGUUCACAUCAUUCGGUCGUGAAAGUGAAAGGCAAUAAUGACGCUAUAUGAUGAAGUGACUGAGCGUGGAAAAGAUGGUAUGAACUCGAUCUAUUUUGGUUUUGUAAAUAUGACUAGCUCAUCGUGCCUGAUUCAGCUUUGUUGUGAGAGAAACAUGUUUUCAAUGACAACUUAGAGAUCAUAGUUGCUUAUGCCAUGCUUACUUAGCUAGGAGCUUAUAAUGGUUUGUCUUGGAUGCCCACAUGAAUGUUGAGAUGACUGUGUCGUAGUAUGAUAGGAUGGUAUCCUGCUUUGAAUGACUCAAGUGGCUUGACUUGGCGCAUGUUCACGCAUGUAGUUGAAACAAAAUCAACAUAGCCUCUAUGAUAUUCAUGUUCAUGGUGAUUUAUGUCCUACUCAUGCUUGCACUCAAUGUUAGAAAAUCUCAAUGCAUUUUGAUGACUGUUGUCGCUCUCUAAUUGGUCGCUUCCCAGUCUUUUGCUAGCCUUCACUUGUACUAAGCGGGAAUACUGCUUGUGCAUCCACCUCCAUAAACCCAAAGUUGUCCCUUAUGAGUACACCAUACCUACCUAUAUGCGGUAUCUACGUGCCGUUCCAAGUAGAUUUGCAUGUGCCACUCUCUAAACCUUCAAGAAAUAAUCUGUUUUGCAUGCCCGAAUCGCUCAUGUGGUGACAGGGGGCUAUCAGUAUCUUCCAUGCUAGGCGCAUUAUCCUCGAUAUGUGUUUAUUCACUAUCAUUCACGAGAAAGGGGCCGGUAAUUGGAAUGCCCAGUUCCAUGCUCAAAUCGAAAAGAUAAUUGCAAACAAAACUACCCCUGGAUUGAUGUUGGUCUGGACAGCACCCGAGGAUUCGACUUGUCGUGGAGUGUGAUUGAUCGGUGGUGGGGAAGUCAAAACUUUACUUUUCUGUUUGGGAACUGCCUAUAGCAUGUGUAGCGUGGAAGGUGUUGAUAACUCUUAGUCAUUGCAUUGACAAUGAAAGCAUGCCACCCAAAAUUAUUAUCUCUGUUUUCAAAGCUUGAGCUCUGGCACCUCUGCAAAUCAAUGCUUCCCUCUGCGAAGGGACUGUCUAUUUAUGUUCCUGUCGAGUCAUCCUCCUCUUAUAAAAGCACCAAUUAGAGAGCACCUCUGUCAUUUUUAUGCUUUGCUUUUAACUGUGUUGAGUAUGACUGUGACUGGAUCUUCUUUGCCAUGAAUUACAAUGCUUAGUCAGCCCUUGGUCUUUGAAGGUGCUCUUCAUUUAUAUUUUGCGGUCUCAAAAAAAGCUAGCAGGAUACCAUCUGUUCGGACUGCUUCAUGAUUGUUUUGAUUGAAGUGUUGACGUUUGAGACUUAUUAUUAUUUGCUCGCUAGUUGAUUAUGCCAUUGAGAUGAGUUUACCGUGAGACCUUGAUGUCACUUGCUUAUGUGUUGCUUGUGAUCUUGCUGAAAUUCUGGUUAUGAGUUAGACAUAGUUGCAACAACAAGAUCAAAGAGAGUUCAUCAAAGUUUUUCUUUUGUCUCUUUCAGUUUGUCAACUGAAUUACUUGAGGACAAGCAAGUCUUUAAGCUUGGGGGAGUUGAUACGUCUCCGUCAUAUCUACUUUUCCGAACUCUUUUGCCUUUGUUUUGGACUCUAAUUUGCAUGAUUUGAAUGGAACUAACCCGGACUAACGCUGUUUUCAGCACAAUUGCCAUAGUGUUGUUUUUGCGAAGAAAUAGAAGUUCUCGGAAUGACCUGAAAGUUUACGAAGAAUUUUUCGGGGAUUUAUGAAAAAUACUGGCGCAAGAAUCAGCGGCGGGAGUGGAGCCGUGAGCCCACAAGCCCACCAGGCGUGGGCCCCCCUCGCCGCACCUCGCAGGCUUGUGGGGCCCACAAAGCUCUACCGCCUCUCAGUCCAGCUCUAUAUAGUCCGUUUCGUCCGAAAAAAUCAAGGAGAAGAGUUCAUUGCGUUUUACGACAUGGAGGCGCUACCACCUCCUAUUCUUCAUC